GAAAUUAAAAAACGUAUCAUAUAUAAAUACACUGCUUAAUGAUACAAUAAGUUUUUGAAUUCGCGUGUUUCUAUUCACUCAAAGUUAACCCAAAUAUUAUAUAAAUAUAUUUAUAAAAUAUUUAAAUUUUUUUAAAUAAUAUGAUAUAUUUGUAGAAUAUUUACAUACUUCUUUAUAAGAGAUUAUCAUGGUGAACAAGUUAAUCUAGUUUUACCAGAAAUUUUAUUUUUAAUUUUACCCUUCAAUAUUAAAUUAAUUAAUAAUUAAGUUUUUAAUUUGCUUUUGAUAAGAUUACCUCAAUAUUACAAUUAUAUCGCAAGUUUUUCAUGCUAAUCCAUAUGGUUCAAAUCAUUUUUUUUCUUAACUCUUUUUCUUUGCCAUUUCCUUUUCAUUUUUUUAAUUUAUAUUAUCAAAAUUAUAUGAAUUUAUUAAACCAAAGUUAAGUGAAUUACUCAAUCUCUAGUUUUUUUACUUUUUUGAGAAUGCUUGCGUUACCUUAGUUUUUUUUUUUUUUUUUACAGUGGAAAAAAAUGAGUCGGCCAUGGCGGUCCACCCAUCUAGUCUUGUUAGGAGCUAGCUCUUAUCCAGCGAUGUGAAGUUAACCAGUAAACAAUUAAGAUAUUUUAUAAUUCAUAAUUCAUAAAAUGCUAUAUAUAUAUAUAUAUAUCAACCGGUCAGCCUAACUACUACUUGAACUUGCACGCGAGAAUGCUGGACGCUACAAAUUGUCCAAAUAUUCUAGAACCUCCCCCUCCUCGACAAACCUUUCCCAAUCAAACCGCCAUAAAUUUCAAGUUUUAUUACUGCAUGCACUGACCAUAAUUAAAGUGUUAUCAAUAUAUAUUUAAAGUUUUGAAAGAAUUUUUUAUUAUUUUCAACUCAAUUAACUAGUAAAAAGAUAGUAGUUAUGACGUAAUCAGAUAAAUUAUGAGUUUUUCCAAUAAAUAAAUAUGGAUUAGCAAGCCAUAUUAUAUAAACAAAGACUAUUUAAAUAAAGCAUACAUAUUCAUAAAAGAUUUAUACCAAGCGGAAAAUAUAUAAAUCUAUGUUGGCUAAUCAAAUAAACUAUAGAGUUUUAUGUUGAUUAAUAAAUCAUAGAGAUUCAUAAUUAAACUAUGAAGAGUUUAUAUAUUUAGCGAAAGUGCUUGCAAAACUAAAAAAAACAUUAAAUUCUAUGACAAAAAAAGCAUUUAAAUAAACUAAAAACUUGUAAAGAAAGCAUGGAAAUGAAUAAAGCCUAAAGUUUGUAGAGUGAUAAAUUUACAUAAAGUAAAUUAAAAGAUAAAUUUACAGAAAAUCAGAGAAAAAUUGUAUUGAAACUGUAAAAAAAGAAUUAUCUAUUUAUAAAUAAUAUUAGGAUAAAGCAAUUAUUUUAUUGUUUUUGUGAAAAACUUUUUCUUAAAAACAAUUUGUUGUUUGCGAAAAUAAUGUUCAUGUAUUUUUUUAUAUUUAUACCGACUAAAAUCACAGAAUUAAAACGACUCGAGCACUUGGUCUAUCUUAUAAUAAAAUUUUUAGAAAUAUUAUUUUCUUCACAACAACACCAACACUAACAACAAAAUUAAAAUUAAAAUCAAAAUCUACCGUAAUAUGCCUUGUUUUCUUGUUUGAUCAUUUUGUUGCUUAAAGAUUUGGAUAUGAUCCUUCAACUUCAAAAAACCCAGUUAUUAUAGGUCAUUUAAAAAAUAUUUAUUUUGAGUGUCAACUGAUUAAUUACAUUAUUUUUUGGAACAACAAACACGAACCCUACACGGUUUACCAUGUGGUUAAGAAGGUUUAUUUUAUUUCUUAAUUUUUAGGGUUAAAACCUUAAAGUCAAAGAUUAAAGGAACAUGGCUGUCAUGUUCUUUAAAUCUAAAUUAUUGAUUUCAGAUUAAAUGUACAUGAUUCAGCGCAUGAUAAAAAUGGUAAUAAUGUGAUUUCUUUUUAUUUUAUUUCUCUCACCUAAUAUAAAUCACUAAAUUCAAAAUCAAUGGUUGGAUUUGAAACAUGAUUGAUAUCUUAAGAUAAAAUUAUGCUAGGUUAGUAUUUCAGGAUAAAAAAAAUAAAAACAAAAGGAACAUAAAUAUAUCUUGUUAAAAAAGAGGAAGAUAAAAAUACAAAAUAAAUCUAUAUAAAAAAUAAUUUCAAAAUGAACUUAUAUUAUUUCAAAACAAAAAACAUAAAAAGACAUAUGCUCUUUAUUUUUACUGGUUUCACGCAUUUUAUCUCGAGAUUGCAACCAAACACUAAAUAAAAAAAACAAGAAAUGAUCCAAAUUUAGAGAGCAAACGUCUAGGAAAAUUUAUUAUUUGUCAAACUAAGGUGACAGAUGCAUUCUUAAGAUCAUCAAAAAGAAAUUUAAUCUCUACACGUUAAAUAAUCAAAAUAUACCACUGUAGUUGAGAAAAAAGAAGAGGGGAUUCAUGUAUUUUGACUUUUGCAUGUGGAAUGAAACUUUACUUUGGUAAGAAGAUAGAAGAAGAACAACUAUAGAGGACCCCUGGGGUCUGAUCUGAGAAGCAAACUCUUCUUGGGUGUGUGUUGAAUUUGUGAUUUUAAAAUAUUAAUAAUUCAGAUCGCCUUUGAAUAAUCAAGAGACUGUAUUCCUUGUCAGCCUAUGCAAAUACUCCAACUAUAGAAACAUUGUCUGUUUUUUAGUAUUAUAGUCUUCAACAAGCAUUAAAUUCACAGCGUAGGGGACUAGCUAGCUAGCUAGCAAGUAGAGAGUAGAGACAAUAUUUUUAAUCAAUAUUGACAAUCUCCCCCAGAAAUUCAACUCCUUGCGAGCACAACACAAGGAAAAACUUGACAGUCAAAUUUGGCAGCAGAACGUGAAGCGGUUUGCAGGAGUUACGGAGCUUUUGAUUGUGUAUUUUAAAAAUAUUUUGCAAAAAAAAAAACUUUUGUUUUAAUUUGCAAGAAAAAAUACUUUUGUUUUAAAGUAAUUUUUUAAUAUUUUUAAAUUAUUUUAGUGUGUUAAUAUAAAAAUAUAUUAUUUUGAUACAUUCUUUAAAAAAAAACACUUUAAAAAGAAAUCCCUACCUAAAUUCUCAGAUCUCAGUCAUCUGGUUAUCUUUCAUGAAGCUGUUACUAACUAUGGUAUUAUGCUUAAAUAGUUUUCCCUAGCGAAUAUCUUAAAUAAAGAACAAAGCUUCAAAUAAUUAUGCCAUUAUAAACUUGAUACUCAUCAUAAUUACCCAGAAUCAUUCUCAUGUUUCUUUCCUUCCUUCUUAACAUAAUUAUCCAAUAACUUCAUAAUAUCAAGGGUGGUAUUUGAUUCUCAUGUUAAAGCUUGGGCAAAUCUAUUUUAAGUUUCAUCCUAAUUUUCUCUAAUAUUAUAUUGUUAUUUACAUUUUCUUCUUUAACUUAAUUUACAUUUUAUUAUAUUGAUAAUAAAAUACAUUGUAAACAUCACAUAAAUUUUACUAAAAACAUAAUUUACCUUUGCUUGUUAGACAUUAUACAAAAGAGCUUAUGAUGUAUACCAUGCUGAAUGAAUUUAUAGAGUGCAUAUAAAAACCAUCGUCAAGUGUCGUUGUUUGCAGGCUCAACAAUAACAUGCUAAAUGCAUUAUCAUCGAUUUUCAAAGCCUCAAUUAAAAAUAUUUCAAAAAACUAAUAUGUUAUUUGUGAGUUGAGGACGAAACUUGUGAGAGAUUCCACUACCAGUAGAGACAACUACGUUGAAACACAAAUUCAUGCAAGAAAUCAAUUUUAAGAGUAGUUUUUUAUUGUUCAAUUUGGGAGAAUGGACAAGAUCUUCAGUGCUUGUCAGUAAGAGAGAGAGAGAGAGAAGAUGGGGAGGGAAAUGAUUUGUCAUUUGUGUCUCUAAUUAUUAUAAUAUAUAUUAGGGUACUUUGAUUAUUUUCUUAUAAUUGAAUUUUUUUUUUAAUCCAGGAUGCAAAAUAUAAUUUUUUUAAAACUUGAUAGACAAGUACAAUUUUAAUCAAACUAUAAGAUGUUAGGGGUAAUUUUUUCAAUACAAAUUAAAUCACUCAAACAUAAUAAAAAAAUAAAAGGUUGGACACUAAAAUUUUAGUUCCCUCCACAAGCUUAUUAACAGAUAAUGAAUGCAUGAAUCGAGAUUGAAUAUUUGGGAUGAUGAUUGAUUGUAAGGAAUUAAUAGCAGAUUAUGCAAUCUAUUUAUACAAAUUCCAUGCAAUCAAUUCCUAACACUAAAUUAAUUUCUCCAAACAAAUGACUCUUUACAAAAAGUCUAGUUUGAUUAAAUUUAAACCUCACCCUUGUAAAGUGUUUAGGCUUGAUCCAAUAGAGUUUUAUUCUUUCAAGAUUUCAAGCGUAGAUGAAGGAAACCUGAGAAUUUCUUUGUUUGAAGAGCUUGUCUUGAAAAAAUUUUUGUAUCUCCAAGAAUUCUUUCAUCCUCUCAUAUCUAGGGUGAGACCCUCUAUUUAUAGAGAUUUGUAGGGGCACUUAGGUAUUUUUAUCAAUGUCACAAUACAUUAUUUUAUUGAUUAAUUUUUGUUUAUGAGAUCUUGUAUUUAUGAUAAAAUACCUUUAAAUAUCUCAUCUCAUGUGUCAACCUUCUAUCAGUUAAGAAAUAUAUUAAAACUCAUUUAUUUUUCAUGUCAUUUAUUUUAAUCGUAAUAAACUAAAAAUGACACAUUCGGUAGAAUUGUUUUUUGUUUCUACGAGUAUACUUUGGAAUCUAGUGUUCCUUAAAGUUUCAUCAGUUUGUAUUUCAGGAAUGGUACUGAAGGCUAAUAAAAUGAGAUGAACCAUUAAUUUUCUUUUUUGUUGUGUUCAGAUCAUAAAAAAGGCGAGGAUGGAAGGAUUGUUCUAUUAUAACUAGAUUUUUGUUCCUCAAGAGCUGCUUAUUGAUAAUGACUUCAAAUGUAUUUUGGAGAAGCCAUAGUUCCAAACUUGAUAUAUGCUUCCUUUUAUACAAAGUUUUGUAUAUUGAAGACAUUCUGCAGUAUGCUUAAAGUUUAGUAUAUUUUGAGAGAAGGUGUUGGAUGUUUGAGAUUUCAUAGAUGAAUCAAUGACUGGCCUGCUCAAUGCAUGUUUGUUACUCUCUAUUGCAUUUACUAAUGCUUGCUAUUUAUUUAUUUAUUUUUAUUUAAUUCACUUGCUAAGUAUCAUGUCUACUAGAUCAUGUCAGGCCCAAGCGUUUGGGUAUUAAAUUUUUUCAAAAGCAUGAUUGAACUGCAAAAACAAACAUUGCUUCAUUCAAGCAUGAUUUUUUUAUUUAUAUGCAAUAGAACCUAACUGCAAACUCUUUUUUAUUUGUCCAACUUAUUUUAUAAAUUUGUUAUAUUCGAAGAGGAAAGAAUGAAAAAAUGUUGAGUUCUAAGUAAUUUAUUUCAAGUUUUCAAAAAUAAACUUUCUUUUUUGUAUGCAUUGAGAAUGAAAAUAUUAGUUUUAUAUUUCCAUCUAAAUGUUGAAUAAUUUUUUAAAGGGUUCAUGCCUUUUGAAAUUUGAGAUGUUGCGUGAUCUAAUUAUUAAAGUUUGUUACAAGGAGAGUUUAUUCUAUAUUAUAACUAUUAGUAUAUACGAAAAUUUGAAAUAUAUGAUUAUAAGAGAAAACUUUUGAAUUUUUGAAUUGAUACAUUAUGUUCUAGGAAAAUAAAAUACUGUAUAUGUAAAAGAUUUAUUGUCCUUUUGACUAUCUUAAUUUGUGCAAUUUUAUAAAUGAUUUCUUCACAAAAAUUACAGAUUAAUAAAAAAAAUUGAGUGAAUUUUAGAGAUACGUGUGGUUAAUGUCCCAAAAUAAAAGAAAGAAAUAUAGAAAAUAUAAGAAUAUAAUUGGUUAAAAAGAAAAAAAUGAAAAUACAAAAUAAAUAUGUUUUUAGAACAACUAUAAGUGUAUUCCUAUAUUUUCAAAAAAAGAUGCACGAAUCUGGCAUGAUUGCCAGGUCCAAACAUGUGGGUCAUGCCAAACCCAAACGCGGGGCUGGCAUGGUUGCAAGACCCAAGCGCCUGGCUCUAGCAAGGUAUUUGAUAUUUUUUCUUAACAAUACAGCGGAAGUCCACAAAGAAUUAUUAGUUAGAUGUCCUAAGAUCAUUUAACAUAUUUGCAUGAGUAUUUUGAUCUUCAAUAAAAUCAUCACCUUUGUUUGGCUCAUAAAAAUUAUACAAAUCCUAGGCGCCAGACCCAAGCUACUUUGACUGACAACCACGCCAGGUCCAAGCGGCUUGGGUCUGGCAACCCCUAUGCAAGUAUAUUGUGGACCAAGACGCAGUCAACUAUAGACUUGCACAAUGAAUUUUCUAAGUUCUGAAGGCUUGAGAUGGAGCUAAUGUUGUCUUUUCACAAAACGUUAAAUUAUCAUUUUGCCAUUUGGUUGAAAAAAUUAAAUUCCUGGUUGUGGGGGUAUUUUAGUAUUUUUCAUAGGCUCAUUGGUCAUUAAACAUUUGAGCGGGGGUAUGAUAGUCUUUUCACGUUUAUUUGCAUAAUAAAAAUACUAUUCUACCCUAAGGUUAACAAAAUUAAAACCUAUUGCUCAAGAAUUUUUUAACCUUUCACAAACUUAAAUAGUUUAAAUACAUCUUUAACCUUUGAAUAGAAAAAAAAUAAGCUUUGCUUAUAAGAAUAUUUUUGUUCUUUUACUGUUUUGUGUAAUUUUCUAUAAUAAUAAGGGGUAUUUUUGAUAUUGUUUAAUUAUUUUAAAAUUCAAAAAGUUAUGCUAGACCCAUGUUUACAUGGUUCUAACAACCAUGUCAGACUCAAAUUACUUGGGUGCCAACUCAAGUACCGUGAAGUUGGUGUGGUUGCCAAACUCAAAGCUCUUGAGUAUGGUAAAUAGUUGAGUGAAUGUUUAAAAAUUAAUCCACUUGAUUAGAUUUAAUAAUACUAUUGAAAUAUUCUCCAUACUUUUAAUAUUUUUUUUAUAUUUUAAUAUAUUUUUUAUAUUAAUCUCCUCUAGAGCGCGUGCCAAAUAAUUUAUAUAAUUUUGGGUGAUAACAUGGUUCACCACGCACGUGUGCAGGCAAACUCCCUCCCGCGUGCCGCGCGCCAUUUUCAAUAUUAAUCCAUAAUUGCAUCAUGAAGAUGGUGACGGUCCAUGCAUGGAAAAACAUAUGGUUUAAUCACGUAAAAUGUUUUCUUUAACCUCGCUCUAAUUUCUCUUAAAACGACCACCUGUUUCCAUUUUGAACAAUCAAAUACGAUGCUUUAUUUGCUUACCCUUUCUCAAGAUAAGUGCCUCUUUGCUUCAUCUAUCACUUUCUCUCUGAUUAUUUAUUCUAGUUCCGUGCAGAUAUUUGGUUUUGUUGUUGCAGUUUGGUGAGGAUUUUUGUAUUUUUUUUGGUGAAUUCUUGACCAUAUUUUGAUUAGUUUUGUUUCCAAAUUAAUGUCAUUCGGAGCCAAAUUGCAAAAUUAGGGUUCGAUUGAGGGUCUGGGAUCUGAUCACAAAGAAGCAUCAAAGUUGUAUCUUGUUACUGUUAAUGGGAUAAAAAAGAUUCAAUCUUUGUACUACCUUUCAGAGAAGAGAGGCGGUAACAAGGACCUGAAGAUCAAUAGGGCUAGUUGUUUAUUUUUUUAUUUUUUAUGGGGAAUACAUGUGUAGGACCAAAUCUAGGCAAUAAUGGAUUCUUCAAUACUGUUACUGCUGCUAUUUGGCGUUCCCGGCCACCAGAGGACCGGUUGCACCUUCCUAAAGGAGAAGAUAGUAGCAAGAAUAAUGGUGAUUCAGAAGCGGGUCCGGUUGGUGGAUCAAAAAAAUCUGAGGGUUCUAAAAAAGGAUCAAAUGAUCAUCCACCAAUACUGGUCCAGAACACCCCGCCUGAACCAGUUAAAAUGCCCAAUGAAGCACCACCACCUAAAGUCAUUGAGCAUGAAAAGUCCAUUAAGCAGGAAAUGAGAGAAGUGGGAAUUGGUCAGCCAGGGGAGGAGCAGAAGGGGAAGAAACCUACUCAUGUUAAGAGGGUUUCGAGUGUAGCGCUUCAAAUGGAAUCUGUGUUAGGGAGGAAAACUGGGAAUUUGAAGGAUAUUUAUAGUUUAGGGAGGAAGCUUGGACAAGGGCAAUUUGGAACAACGUUUCUUUGCAUUGAGAAGGCGACUGGGAAGGAGUUUGCUUGCAAAUCCAUUGCGAAGAGGAAGUUGACGACGCAGGAGGAUGUGGAUGAUGUUAGGAGGGAGAUUCAGAUAAUGCAUCAUUUGGAGGGUCAUCCUAAUGUGAUAAAAAUUGUGGAUGCUUAUGAGGAUGCUGUUGCAGUUCAUGUCGUUAUGGAACUUUGUUCUGGCGGGGAGCUUUUUGACAGAAUUGUUCGGAGGGGGCAUUAUACGGAAAAACAGGCAGCUGAGCUUGCGAGGUUAAUUGUUGGUGUUGUGGAAGCAUGCCAUUCUUUGGGUGUUAUGCACCGGGAUUUGAAGCCUGAGAAUUUUCUGUUUGUCAGUCAGGAAGAGGAGUCGCCGCUUCAAACGAUAGACUUUGGUCUCUCAGUGUUCUUCAGGCCAGGUACACAUCUGAGCAUCACUUUUAUGUUUCAAUGGUUGGAUUUAGCACCCCUUUACUUGAAGCAUUAUUGAACUAGUGCUACACUAGCCUUUUCUUUGAACUCUAUUAUAGCUCUAGAGUUCUUGAAAAUAUUUUCCAUGCCAUCCAAGUACAACACCAAUAAUUUACUGACUAAAUGAAUAAGAAUAUCAGCUCAAUUAUAAAUAGCUUCUCUUUCUCACUUAUGAAGAUUUCCACUUGCCAUGUGCUUUUCCUAUAUUAGAAUAGAAUGGCUUGCCCCCUUUUCUUGCCUAUCAACCGUGGAAAUAAUUAUCAAAGAGGAAGAAUGGUUACUGUUGUUGUCACGGAUAUUGUUAAUGGAUAAGCGAAAGGUAUGCUUGGUUUCUCAAAUAGUAAGAUGGUUGAUUAUAUGGAUAAAAGCUUACUUUUGAAGUUUCUUCCCAAAUUUAAAGAAGUUUUAGUUUGUAGUUAGAAAAUUCUCUGUGAGCCGUAACCCUCUUGGAGAGGGUGCUUUAGUUCAACAGAAAAAAUCAGAAUCCAUACGAAAUUAGUGCAUGAGGAAAUUGAGUUAAAGAGAUUUAUAGAUCUGCUUAGAGCUUUCAAUGAAUAAUAAACAAAGCUCUGAUCAAACCUGGCUGGACUUUAUGAAAACAUUUCCACCAUUCACCUCUGAUUUCGACAGUAAAAGCAAGCAAGCUGUGUCCAAACACACACAAGCAGGGUCAUUGAAGUUUCAGUAUCCAGAUUUUGAUUUUGGCUUGGACGAACAAAAAAUAUAUGAAUAUUUACUUUUAUUUUGAUAGCCUGCAGCAUGAGUUUCAAUGCCAACAUCUGAAAAUUUGGAAAUGAUUUUCCAUUCUAAAGUUGUUUGGAGCUGCCAAUUGUGGCCUAAACAAGUGCCAGAGGCUGAAUGUUGAACAUCUUAAGUUCCCAAUAGUUAACUGGCUUCUCAUUGUAAGCUAUUUUAAGUUUUUGUAUGGUCGUAAUGCACACAGUGGUUACAAAAUAUAGCAAAAUUUACUGCUUCCUUAUAAUUUCUUAAAUACACAUCAGAAUAUAAUUUUCUUCAUUGACUAUGCCAGACAAUUUCAUUAUUUAUUACACGAACAUUUCAACAUCCAUGCCAAUAUGGUUACCUUAGUAUGCCUCCUAUAUUUUUUGCUUUAGAAGGGAUAUGUUUGCCUGCAGUCAGCUCAUAGUCUCUCCAUUGCCCAUGCUUAUUUAAAACUUUGUCAGCAUUAUGUUGUUUCUUCCUUAGUAGUCCUUUCCAUUUCUGCAAAAUUAACUAAUGGUUUCAUCAUCUCAGGUGAAACUUUCACUGACAUAGUUGGCAGCCCCUACUAUGUAGCUCCAGAAGUGUUGCGGAAGCUAUAUGGUCCAAAAUGUGAUGUUUGGAGUGCUGGGGUGAUCAUUUAUAUUUUGUUAAGUGGGGUUCCCCCAUUCUGGGAUGGUGAGACUCUUGAUCUAGAAUCAUGUUAUUUUAUACCUUUAUCUAAUGAUUAUUUGGCUGCGUGUAAUUUAUGCUCUGUCAUGUUUGGGAUCAGAAACGGAACAAGGAAUAUUUGAGCAGGUUUUAAAAGGGGAACUAGACUUUGAAUCAGAACCUUGGCCUAAUAUCUCUGAAAGUGCAAAAGAUCUUGUUCGGAAAAUGCUAGUAAGGGACCCUAAAAGACGGCUGACAGCCCAUGAAGUUCUCUGUGAGUAUGGAUGCCACUAUAAUCUAAUCUUUAAAUAUCUCUUUGCCAAAUAAACCAGUGCAUUGUUUAUUAUUAGUUUGUUGUGUCUCUUUUGUAGUUGUGUUUUUUAAUGAUAACCCUGAUUUUCUUUUAUCAUGAGUCACCAUAGCUUCUUGAAAUUUUAGCUUAUAACAGAACUGAAUGGAGGAAAAUGCUCACACAGCUAGCCGUAGCUAAUCAGAGAUUGAGGUCUAGUUGACUUGAGCUGAGUUGUUGCUUAAGUGGAUGAAGUCAUGAAACAAAAUCGUAAAUUAAGUUCUGUUGGAAAUGUGAAAAUAUACUAUAGUACAAAACUAGCUAGAUGGAUGAUGGUUUAGGAGGAGUUAGAUGAUAUAAAGAACAUGUCUUGAUCUUACUAGUUUCUUUUGUCGCCAAGGAGUAGCAAUAGUUACACUAUGUUUUUGUUCUCGUGCAGGCCAUCCUUGGGUGCAGAUGGAAGGUGUUGCACCUGAUAGACCUCUUGACUCAGCUGUUCUAAGUCGGUUGAUGCAAUUCUCAGCCAUGAAUAGGCUCAAGAAAAUUGUCAUCCGAGUGAGUACUUAUAAUCCCUGAACUCUUAAAAAUUUUGUGCAUGCUACACAGCAGACAUGGUAACUGGAAAACUUAGGUCAUGCUUUGGAUGCUGUAUCAUGAUAAAGAACAUACUGAGACAAGGAAUGCAAUGGAGCUGAUCACUUCCUUUGUUUGGUUGCCAGACUUGUUUUGAAUGGAGUUGCAAUGCUAAAACAUCAAUAUAGAAACAUCAUUUAUAAUCUUUUGAUAAUUAAAAGGUGAUAUGGCUGUUCAGUUUUACCUGCAGUUUUGUUUCUUGCAUCUAUUAAUGAAAAGAUGUUACCCUGUCUUUGAAACAAGAAGAGUGCAUAUAUCGUAGCAUGAUAAUUUUGAUUUUAAACCUUCUGACUAUUCCAUGCUUUAAGCACACAUCUCUUUGUAACGCAAACAUCUUUAUGUUAUUCACCAGUGUAUUUUUUCAUUAUAAUUUUUAGUCUAAUGUGCUUUGCAUAUAUAAAUACUGCAUUAAAAGUUGCUAAGCUAACCAAAUAUCAUCAUUGAAGUCAUCAUAUAAUUAAGCUUACAUUACAACUCUAAAUCUCUGCUUACAGGUAUCAAGCAUUUCUUGUUAGCUGAAGUAUUUGCAACAGUGCUUUUUUCAUUUGAGUACAUUGUUUCACAUAGUGAGCACCAUACUUCAUAGAUGCCAUUAAAUGAUUUUGCCCUCUGAAUGUUAAGUGUGUGAUUACAUAUUGUACAUGAUCACUUUCUCUUAAAACAGAUAUCUUGGUUGAAUUGCUUGAAGUUUUCACUUGGUAUUUUAAAGACAACAAUGCGAGGUCCUUGCUAAAACCUGUUCUUUUACUUACCAGAAAACUUCUUUUUCAUUUCAGGUCAUUGCUGAAAGCCUCUCUGAAGAGGAAAUUGCAGGUCUGAAAGAAAUGUUCAAGAUGAUAGAUGCAGACAAUAGUGGACAUAUCACUCUUGAGGAACUGAAGACUGGUUUGGAGAAAGUGGGUGCUAAUACCAAGGAUUCUGAAAUUGCUGGGCUAAUGCAAGCUGUAAGUCUGUUUGAAAUUCAGAUUCAAGGUUUUUAUAGUUAUAUAGCAUAGGAUCAUGAUGGUAGUUUUCUUUCUUACUCUUGUAUUUUUAACAAAUUACCUUGAGACUUUCUGCUGUGAACCAUUAAGCGAUUUCAGACAACCCGGUCAUCUUUGGUUAAACAUGACUAAAUUUAGUGUGAGUCUCUCUGAAAUGAGCUAGAUAAGUAGCUUGUGUGCUGUGACCAAGAUUCAAGUACCGUGUUUCUAUUUUCUUGAGGAUUACCUAUUAAACAACUCAUAGCCAAGCCGUUGUCCGAUUUAGCUCAAAUAUGGAGAAAAGCAUGAACAACCCGAGAUAUAGGAACAUGGUGCAUGAUUUUGUAGGUUAUGUUUAAAGAGCCUAGGUCCCAGGGAGUCUUGGAACAAGACACAAACACGCACCGACACACGUGCACAGAUCAUAAGAAACCUGUCUAGCAUCUAAAAUGUAAAUGGAGAACAUGUGGAAAUUGAUAUAUUUUGGUUACCAUUAUUUUCUAUGAGAUUUUAUCAUGGCCGUUAAAUUAACCAGUGAAAUCGCCACUUUAGCUCCUGGAUCUCCCAGAUGAUUGUCUUGGAUGAAUUAUCACAUCAGCGUUUGCCCUCAUCCAUACAGUUUGAUUCUGAUUAAGCUCCCUACCUGUUAAAAAUUUCAGGCUGAUGUUGAUAACAGUGGUACCAUAGACUAUGGCGAGUUCGUAGCAGCCAUGCUCCAUCUAAACAAGAUUGAGAAGGAGGAUCAUCUAUAUGCAGCCUUCUCAUACUUUGACCAAGAUGGGAGUGGGUACAUCACUAAAGAUGAGCUCCAACAGGCCUGUGAGAAGUUUGGUUUAGGAGAUGUUCAGUUAGAUGAAAUUAUACGUGAAGUUGACCAAGAUGAUGUAAAUAUCUUCUUGCCAAUAACAAUUUUCAUUUACCUCCAGGUAGAAAAUAGUUUAAUUCAUCGGCAUGAUUUAAUUUUUCACUUUCAUAUUCAUUUCAGGAUGGACGCAUCGAUUACAGUGAAUUUGUGGCUAUGAUGCAAGACACUGGUUUUGGCCAAACCAGAUCACAAAUAACUUAGGCGUGUAAGAUUCAGAUAAGCCUUUAAGCAGGAGUUAAUUUGUAUUUUCUAGGUGUCAUAAGUUAACAGAAUGUGCAGCGCAUACUGUUGUAAAGAGGAGGCAGGCUUCAGGGAGGUUAAGAGAGGGUAUCCUAUUCAUUUUAUUCUUUUCCAAGUUGUAUUUUCCACGUUUUAGGUUCCUGUUAAAUUUAUUCAGAUGGAUUAGAUUGCAAUUUCCCAUGUUUGAAAACUUUGUUCACGAUCAAACUUUUUUUUUCCCAGUUAUUUUUGUCUGUAGUAUGAACGGUGCUUGAUAUCUCUAUCGGUCCUAAAUGGGUACUUGGCAUGUUUUUAGUGCUCACCUUUUAAUGAUUAAUGUGUAAAUUACGUAUCUUAGGUAUUCAUAUAUAAUUCAAUUAUGCAAAAUCUUCUUCUUGGAGCUAGAUAACAUCUCUUUCCAAUGAUGUUAUUUGUUCACCAUUAUGUUCGUUGCCUAUUUGCUGAAAACACAGAGAUGUAUACAUGUUUUUGUCGCGUUGUCUAGACAAAGACAGUACUCCAGCAGCAAUCGUGUUUGACACGAGUUCAAUCUACAUUUGUACAUACACAAUUGACAUUUUCUUUUGUACCUUGUCCAGCAUCUUCAACGUACCUUGUUCAGCAGGACCAGCACCGUGUCACGGUUGUAAAUACCGUUCCUCAGUGAUGAAAAGGCCAGCCAUGUCUUGUCUGAUAAGAGAAAUGACACUACUUUUGUUCGUGUUGUGUCCAUGUCAAUAAAGGGUGCGCCACGACGACUUGGAAGCAUCCAUGUAGAAAUGGCUGCAUGUGCAAUUGCCGAUGUACUGCUUUGUUUUAGCAGGUUCAUAGUAAUGAAAGAAAGCAAUCAAUUCAUAGAUUUUAAUUUGAUGCCAUGCGUGGUUGAAGGGUCUUUCUCCAAUUGUUGUCCUAUGCAAGGCGUUCUAUCAAACUGACAUUUGCGGUACCAUUUAACUUGCGCCCUAAAUGGACCAUGGCAAGUAGCCUUCCUAAUUUGCAACUAGUGCCAAACCAAGCAAAACGUCAAUGAAAAUGGGGCGAUCAGCUUGAUGCACUAUGUUAAGGACUUCAAAAUAAGAAAACUAGAGAAUUAAAGAGAGAAGAAGAAGAGAUGAGAAGAAGAGAGACAAAAGGAACUUCAUUUCUGCAGAAAAUUAAUUUUUUAUUACUCAUCUCUUAUAUUUCAUACAAUUGGUGUUUAUGCAUAGGUAAUUUCCACUAAUUGUAACUAAUUUCGAACUACUAACUAACUAACUCAACAUCCUAACUUUUUAGCCAUGUAGAUUCUUUCUUGCUGCCACAAUUCUGCAGCUGCCAACUACUAUAACUAUUGUUGCAGGUGUCAACCCAAAUCUAAGGCUCAUAACAAUACUCCCUUCUUAUGAGAUUCUUCUCCUCAUGAAUCAAAGCAAAAAUAAACUCUUCCAUACUCAUCAACCCCGCUUUCUCUAGUUGUAAUUCCAUUAUUAUUACCUUCAUUCACAUCUAGAAAUUCUUCCCAACCCCCUUCCAUUCCUUCAAUCAUACGGAUCCCUUUCAUACUACAUUGGCGUCCAUGUGUAUGCUUCUUUUCAUAUCUAAUCUACUCAUGUAAAAUUUUAAGGGUUUGUCUUGAACUUUGAGGCAUUUAUAUUUUACAAUGGUUAAGAGUUUUUUGUGGUGGUUUACCUUGUUGUCGAUCCUUGUUAUACGAAAGAGCAGUUUUUAAAUUGAAAUAUGCUCUUUUUAACAAUAACAUUGUUAGAUUCCUUUUGUUAUUUAGCUUGAUCAAAAACUUGCAUCAUGAUUAAUGGUUUAAGAAUCAUGAGCAUUAGCUUGAUGUCAUCCUUGACCCACUUAUAAAGCUGAAAAUAUAAUAAGAUUCUAGUAAUGAAGAGUUUAGUGUAUUCACUAACCACUUAAGUUAUUCAAAUCUAUUUACAUAUUCUUUCAUACAUUUAUCUUGCACAAGUUUAUUGAAUUCCUCCGCCAUAUCUUUUCUAUUGUCAAACCUCAUGCAAAUACCCUUGGUGAAUUCUUCCUAACUAGCCAAAUCCUCUCCCUCUAUACAAGAAUCCUUCAUAUCACAUAUCAUCUCAAAGAACUUCUUGUAUUUUCUUAUUCAACUCCUUGGAUUUUCUCUCAAAAAAGUUAGCAAUUCCACUUUAGAUAAAGCUACAUUGUACCUUACCCUUUGAACUUAUUGAUUUCCCUUGCCUUCUUCAUGUUAAUUUAUCAUGUGAUUGGAAAUUAAUUCAUCAGAUACUGUGUUAUCCCUUCCCCCUAUCUACUUCUUGGCCUUUUGUGAUUAUCUUAAAAGUAGCCAUUAUAGCCUUCAACUAUAAAUUAACUUGAUCGAUCUUCUUAUUUUACUGUUCCACUAUUUUUUAGAGUUUCUCGUGUAGGUGUUGUAUCUGUUCAUUCACCUUCCUUCCAUGCUUGUCUAAAGCCUUAAUUCUAUUAUUCUCUAUUUUUGCUAAUUGUUUAGUAGUAAUAAUAUUCUUUUGGUUAUGGAAUGUUGACUCGAAUACCAAUUGUCAACGACUUUCCUUAACAAAACAAGAAAAAUAGAGAAUUAAAUGGAAAAGUAUAAGAAAAGAAAAGAAGAGAGAUAAAAGGAACUGCAAUUCUAUAGAAAAUCAAUUUCUUAUUAUUCAUCCCUUAAGUUUCAUACAACUAGUGUUUUAUAAAAAGACUUUAUGCCAAUUCUAACUACUAACAUAAUUCCACUAACUAACAACUAGCUCAACUUCCUAACUUCUUAGCCAUGUCAAUUCCUUCCUACUGCUUCAAUUCUAUAAUUACCAAUUAUUGUAACUAUUGUUGUAGCUGUCUAAACCAUUUUCUAUAUAAAAAGUUGUAAUAGCCUUUAGGCAAGAGGAGACAUAAAUAUAUAAAAUUAGGUAUCAUAAGAGUCUCCGUAUAAAUAUAAUGUUCUUGGUCUUUGAGGGUUUUAAAUUAUAACAAACCUUAUUAUCCUCCGCUCCGUCUAUACUAGUUGGUAUCAAAGCCCAAUGAUUCCUAGUGAUUUUGGUUAAAGAUCGUAGAGGAAGUGUGUUGUGGCUCAUCUAUUUUUAGUGGUUUUAUGUUGUUGAAUAACCAUAGUUGGAAGAUGUAGCAUAACAAGACAUGCUUGUGUUGAAAGGGAUGACGAGGUUUUCAUAUGGAAAAAGACAUCCUAGAACUAGAAUGUUAUUUCCAUUUGUAUGAGUAUCUUUUAUUAAAAAUCAUGGUGGUGGGAUCCAUGAUGGGGAAGACCAUAUAAAAGUGUUAUGUCAGGGAUACACGAUAGGACGAAUCGCACAAAUGUUGUGGUAGACUACACAAAGAUGUUAGGGAUCCACAAUGGGGUAGACCACAUAAAAGUGUUGUGUUAAGGAUCUAUAAUGGGAUGACUCGCACAAAGAUGUUAUAUUAAGGACAUAUGAUGUGGUAGUCCACACAAAGAUAUUAGGGAUUCACAAUGGGGUAAACCACACAUAAAAAGAUGUUUGUGAUGGAUGAUGGUCUUUUAAUAAGAUUUGAACUCAAUGACAAGUUCCUUUCAACUUAGAGAGACUAAUUUAGAAGUUUUUUUAGUUAAUUUAUUUUAUUUUAUUUUUUAAUUCAAUAUUAUUCUAUUUUUUCUAGUUUUUCAUAUUUGUUCUAUUUUUUCAUAUUUGAAUUGAAUAUGUUUUUUAUGUUAUUUUUUCUAUUCAUUAUUACUGGGGUUUUUUAAUUUUUUCUAUAUAAAAAUUGUAAUAGUCUUUUAGCAAGUGGAGACAAAUAAUUCAUCAAGCAGUCCAAAUGGAAUAAUUAUUGACUAAGUAAACAAUGUCUCUCUUUUAUUAUUGGUUAUUAUUAAUAUUUUUCAACUUUCAAUUAUUAUACCAUAUGUACACUAGUCUUGUUUUUAUAAAGGACAUCAUCAUUUACAUUAGUCUCCAAUAAAAAUCUUACCAUUCAUUUGUCUUCGUCCAUAACGAUAGACUUAGAAUUCAUUGGCUUCCAUACAAGACGCUAAGCUUAACAUUCAUCGGCUUUCAUCAAGGAUGACAAGCUUGUUUUUCAUUAGCUUCCACAAGGAUGACAAGCUUGUCUUUCAUUUUACAUUUUCUUUUUUUUUCUUUUUUACACCACAAUACAAUAAUAUAAAUUAAAGAAACUUACAACAAUAAUUUAAAUAGAUAAGGUGCUAAGCACUUACCAGCUCUUCCUGCCGACCUCGCUCCCUCAGCUAAAGAUCUAACUCCUUGUGCUCUCCUGAAUUUUAAAAAGGAGAUAUUAGUAUUUCUAACAAUUUAACCACAUUAAUCAAUAUCCAUGUUAUUACAAUCCCAUCUAUAUUUUACUUUCAUCAACCUAAUUAUUACCAUAAAUUUCAAUAUCUUGAGAAUCUACAAAUUAUUAUUUAAUUUCUUUAAUCCCACACCUUCCACACCAAUUCUUUAACAUACCUUAAAAGAAAACUUAGGGAUUUCUUCCCGUAUCAUAAUCAAACUUCAAAUAACAUGAGUUAUAUAAUUUAUGACACCUUACCCAAAGAUUUUGAACCCAAAAUCACUUUCUUUACAACUUCCUUUUGAAUCCUUUGUUUCUCACUAAACUCAACUAUUUUCCUAUUAUUUUCGACUUUAACCUAACUUCCAUUUACCAGUUCCUACUUUCAUAUAUAAGAUAUUUGAAUCUUUUAUGAAUUUAAGUGGAAAGUGCGAGAAAAAAAAGAUUAAUCCUUAAUUUUCUUCUUUGUGGCAAGUGGGUCAUUAUAAAAGGGAGGGAGAUGGACUUUUUAUUUAUUUAUUUACAAUUUUCCCCUUAAUGAGUCCAUAUAUUAUUUUAUGUAUUUCCUCCUAGCCAUUGGUAAUUUUGUAUAGCUUUUCAGAACUCUAAUUGACCUAAAAUUUUAACCUAUGGUAGAAUAACAUGUUAGAAGACUGCUCGAGAAAUUUCAGCAUAAUCCAACAGUUGGAUUGAGAGUUAUGUUUGAUAGUAAAAAUUGAACAAUAGAAAAUAUUCUUAUGAAAAAAUCCAGACUCCUAUUUUUUUUAUUUACAUAAAUCAUCAAUAUUUUUAAACUAAUUCAUUGGAGACUUUCAUUCAUAUUUAUCUCUCAUAAAAAUUUCAUUUCAAUUAAUAACGUGUUUAUUUUAUUUAUUUUCUAUAGUCAAACUUUACCACUAGUUGAUAGAACUCAUAUAAUUUUUUUUUACUGAAGGGUCUAUAAUUAUUUUGUCCAAUUAAUACCUAUUAGUGUUGAAAAAAAAAACAGGCUUAGUUUCCUCUUUUAGUGUUAUGCAAGUUAAAAUGCUAAAGUGGGAUAAAUAAGGCUUUGGCAAUAUUUUUACUCACAAAAUGAGGGUUCUAUAUAGGCUUCAAAGAACUCAACAUUAUGUGACUAAGGGAGGUAAUCCUUUUCUGUAUGAUUUAGAAAAGAAUUUGACAAAGGAAUACAAUCUCAUUUUAUCUCAAGAAGAGAUUUAUUGGUUUUAAAAGUCUAGAUGCCAAUGAAUUGCUUAACUCCUUUUACUCUCAUACCAAGGCAAAGAUUAGAAGGAUAAAAAUAUAAUAAAAUACAUAAGGGAUAGUAAUGAUGAAUGGAUGUGGGAUGAUGUCUCUUUAAAACUCAUAGUUGUAGAUUUUUACAAGGGUUUAUUCACUAGAGAAAUAGAUGUAGUUCAAAGUUUUCCUUUAUAAGGUGUUGUCCCGAAGCUUAAACGAUUUUAUAGAGAUUGGUUACUUGAACUAGUAAUAGAUGGGUUUCAACCUUGUUUUUAUUUAUCUCAAUAAAAAUUGUAUUGUUUGAUAUGAAGCCUUUUAAAGCUUUAGGGCUAGAUGGGUCUCAACCUUGUUUUUGUUGAUCUCAAGUUUGUGAGACAACUUAUAGAUAACAAAGUUGAAGUUGUUGAUAUCAAUUAGAAAUAUUUGGUUUUGAUUCCAAAAAUUCCUAACCCUGGGCUAUAUCACUAUUUUCGCCCUAUUGGUAUGUAUAAUGUUAACUAUAAAGUUUUCUCAAAGGAUUUUGUCAACAUAUUUAACAUCCUUAUACCAAAAUUGGUCUUGUAAUUUCAGAGCAGUUUAUGCCAAGAAGAAAUAUUACAGAUAAUAAAGUAGUGGCAUAUGAAAUCAUCCACUUCAUGAGAAAUAUAAAAGGAAUGAGAGGUUGUAUGGCCAUCAAAAUUGAUUUGGAGAAAACAUAUAAUUAGUUAAGGUGAGGUUUCAUUAAACUUACCUUGGAGGAUGUGGGGUUUUCUGAGGAGAUAGUGGUCCUUAUUAUGAAAUGCAUUAAGAUAGUUUCUCUUAGAGUUCUGUGGAAUGGUAGUCCUUCGGCUAAUUUCACUUCUAUAAGAGGAAUUCGUUAGGGAGGUCCUCUCUUAUUUUAUAUAUUUAUAUUGUGUCUAAAACGACUAUCUCAACUUAUUUGCAAGAUUUUAGAGUUAGGAAUAUAUUAUGUGAGGCUUGUCAAAGAACUAGUCAAAGAACCAUCUCAACCCAAAAGCAUAAGCUGUUAGGUGAGGUCCUAGGAUAUGAUUUAUAUUAUUCUCUAACACACUCCUUCAAGUGAAAGCCCUUUAGGCUUGAAACUUGCAUAAACUCACAUUACUUUGUGCUUAAUUUUUAUCAAAUAAAUGAGAAUUGUGAGAUUUGAACCCGUGACCGCUUGGUCAUCAAGGCUCUAAUACCAUGUCAAAGAACCAUUUCAACCUAAAAGUUUAAACUGUUAGGUGAGGUCCUAGGAUAUGAUUUAUAUUAUUCUCUAAUAAAGCUUCUAGUUAGAAAGUAAGUAUUGCGAAGACUAAGGUAUUUUUUCCAAAUAAUAUUUCAGAUUGUAACCUCCUUCAAUUCAUAUUCUAUAACUUGAUCGCUUUAUUGAUUUCAUGUUUUUUUCCAAUUUUUUUUCUUUUAGUAAACCAAAGGAAAGAGAAGUAGGAAGAUGGGAAAACUGAGUAGGAAAUAGGGUAGUUUUCGUUAAAAAAAAAAAUUGAAAUGAGGAUGCUUACAAGCACUAUUAUAAUAAACUCCGACAGCGAAUGAACAAUUAAAAGGAGCUUUCCAGGUGGGUGAACCGAUUUUUUGCCUUUUCGCCAUGUUCGCACGUAGUAAAACUUUAUUUUCCAGUAAGGCCCAAAACCACAUGAUACUUGACCUACCAGACAUCUAUAAACCUUUUUCUUCAACUUUCCAAAACCCCCCACCAAUCUUUUUUAACAGAACUGAUCAGCGUGUGAGCAGCAAGAAAAGAUCAAGUUGCUGUGGUUAACUAGUCCCCACCAUUGGCACUCACCAUCGAUCCCACGUCGAUUUCACCUUCCAGUUCAUCUGGGCCAUUUUGUGUUUCAAGUUUUCUUCAUGGAAAUAAAUAGCAGAAGAAAAAACAGUCUGGUGGAUGAGGAUGAGGGUGACCUAGCUCUCUUCCUCCUUUUUCUUGAUUGAUCCAUCUCAUACAUGGCACAUCACAGCUCCUGGACAUUUGUCAUCAUGACCCAUGCAGAUAUUGCAUGCACGUAUAUACAUCUUGACGUUUUCGUAUUAUGACACGUCAUUACUCUUUUUUCGUCUAAUAAAUUUUCGUUAAUGUUGCUUACACGAAUUUGUCAAGAAGCAUAUGCCAAGUCUCCUGGAUUUAAUUUUAUGCACAGCAAGAAACUGACAUAUAUACAGUUAAUUUGCAUAAAGUAUAUAAAAAAAUCCUGCUGCUUCAGAUGAAAUCUGGACCGCCCACACAAUGACAUUAAUUAAAAGUAAAAAGUUAUUUUGUUUCAUCUGUGGUCUCAGGUUCGAGCCUUGUGGUUGCUCAUAUGAUGGCCACUGGAGGCUUACAUGGUCGUUAACUUCAGGGCCCGUGGAAUUAAUCGAGGUACGCGCAAGCUGGCCCAGACACCCACGUUAAACUAAAAAAAACAAAAAGUUAGAGAUAAAAAAUAAAUAAUAAUAACCCACUAGGAAAACGUGAUCGUAUUAACCUUUUGAUCUUUUCGUAACUGGCUAAUGUUGAUGCCACCAGAAACUCGUUUUCACUUUUGUUGCCUGUGCCAGUUGCCACCCUCAGUAACAAGAAAAAGAUCGUCGUAAUUAAUUAAUGUCCGACACGUGGAGGUAUCCAAGAGGCAAGCACAAUAAGUCAUACCACGUGUCAAGGGAAGGGGUAACAGCCACUUAUUAAUGCUGAGGUGUCGCCAAUCCUGACUGUGUAGUCUACACGUGGCAAUGGAAUGACGGCGACUUUAGCUCUGUUGUGUUGUUAACAGCAAGAAAAUGCUCCAUAAUCCCUGAGGUCUGGACAUGACCUAACUAACAAAGAUUGUUUUUCUGUGUCCCUCACCCGGUCACGUCCCUGUCACGUCCCUGUCACGUGGCUUGCCCACAGUUGGCCGGCAACGCCCCCCCUUUCUGAUUUUUAGUGACUUGUUAAAUUAUUUUUGCAUUUUUUUUUGUGUAAUAAGAAAAAAACAAUUUAGUGCAAUUAAAUAUUAAUCAUUUUUUAAUUAAAUAUUAAUAAAAAAAGUCAAGUCAGAAACUUUUAAGUUAGAGAAAUUGUAUUGAGUUUUAAAUUUUUUUUUUACAAUUUUAUAAUUCAUUACUGAGUUUUUAUUGAAUUUUAUCUUGUAGCAUUUGAUUCAUAAUAGGUGUGAUCAUUUUCAGUUUGGUUCGGUUUUUACAUAAAAAAUUAACCAAACCGACAUUAUUAAUUUUAAAAAUUUAAAACCGAAACCGGUUCAAACCGACUGGUUUCGGUUCGGAACCGGUAAAACCGAAAAGCAAAUCUCGAUGCCUAGUGCCCACAAAUUGCAAGCAAAUCUACAAGCAAAUCUCGGUUUUUUUUGUUCGGGAAAACAGAUAUGCUCAGUGCCCACAAACUAUAAGCAAAUCUCAGUUUCUGUUGUUCAAGAAAACAUAUAUGCCCACAAACUACAAGCAAAUUAUAAUUUAAUAAUAAUAAUAAUAAAAAGCAAAAACCCACAAGAUGCAGGGAUGAACUUGAAAUGGAGUUAGAAUCUUAAUCAUUAAAAAACCAUCUCUUUUUUUUAUCUGCCCAGUGUGAUGUGGUUUGAUUAGAAUAAAUGUUGAUGCAGGGAUGAACUUAAAGAGAUUAGAGAUAGAGAGAAAAGAAGGGGGGGCUACGGGGAGAGAUGAGAGACAGAGAGAAAAAGAGAGGAAAAAAUAGGGGGUUGUGAAAAGAUGAUGAGAGGCAGAGAAAAGAAAGGUGGUGCCAGCUGCUGAAUAUUACUUUAGGUUUAUGAUUGAAAAAACAUCCUAUUUAUACUUGUUUUUUUUUAAGUGUUGGCAUGGUUGAACCGGUUCCGUUCGGUUCAAUCUGUUUCAGACUUUGGAAACCGAAACUGAACCGAACCAGAACUUUUUUGUGAUUUUUUAAUCGGUUAAUUCGGUUUUUUUUUCGGUUCGUUUUUUCAGUUAUUUUUUUUCUGGUUUUUUCGGUUUAAUCGGUUUAUCGGUUUUUUUGCUCACCGCUAAUUCAUAAUAAAUUAAUUUUUUAUUUUUUUCAUAUAAUAAUAUAAAAAAAAUAACUUAACUCAAUAGAGUCCAUAAACCAAUUGUAAAUUUGAUGAGUUGACUAAAUAUUAAUAAAAAAAUCACGUUAGAAAUUUAAUUUUAAGUAUAAACCAUUAUAUUAAAUUUAAUAACAAUUCUGAAAAAAACACUAUUUUAUUUUAUUUUAUAGUACAAGAUAUUUGAGUCCAGCCUGCAACAAAAGGGCUGGCGAUAAACUAGUGUUGAACUAAAUAAUAACACUUGCAUGCACGUGACGUUUAAAAAAUAAUUGAAAUUGGAUCUCACUGACGUCUAAAAAUGAAAAGAAUGGAAGGUGAUCCAUAAAAUCAUUUUUUUUAAUUAAAAAAAUAAAUAUAUAUAAUAAUCAUCCUUAGGCCUUUUGGUAGACAUCAUAUCUUUAAUCCAAUUUAUAUAUAUAUAGAGAGAGAGAGAGGGAUAAGGCACUGAGUUCCUGAAUUCGCAUCCAACCGCAUAAUGUGAUAUUGAAUCCAGUAGGAUCCCAUUCCUUUGUUGUGUCAUGUCAUCGAUCGGUUGAGUGAAGAGUUGAAAUUAAGAGAUUUGGGCCUUUUAUUUUAUGAUUGUGUUGUGUUCUUCGGUGUUUUUUUUUUAAUUAUGAGAUAAAAACAGUGCUCGGUGACUGGUUAAUAUAUAUAUAAAUAUUGCUUUUUUAAUGUUUAAUUAAGACGACUAAUUAAGUUGUAUUGGAUAAAAAAUAAUAAAAAGUAGGGGGCUGAAUAUUUCCUAGAUAUAAAGAAAGUCUUAUAUCCAAUCUGCUUUUCUUUAAUCAAAAGUGCAUGAUGGAUUUAAUUAUUUCGGAUCUUGGAGUAUAAUACCGCUCACAUCCAAAAUCUUUUAUGAUUUGAUAUAUUAUGCUCGAUCAGUCGAUCAGUCAGCUAGAAUCAAAAAUACAUUAUUAUUAUUAUUAUUAUUAUUAUUGAGAUAAUAAAAAACAUAAACUUGAUAAAAUUAAAUACUAUAAAAACUUUGAUAAAAAGAAAUCAAAAGAAUCAAAUUGAAAUUAAUAUUAUUCUUAUUGAAAAAAAAAUUAAAAACCUGAUAUGAUUAGUGAUAAAAUUGAAAACCAUAAAAACUUUGAUAAAAGAGCAAGGAAAAAAAAUUAAAAAAUCAAAAGUAGAAGGACAUAAAUAAAAAACUUACAUUUACAAAUUAGAAUUGAAAAAUUAAAUUGAAAACAAAUAAAACUUUAACAAAAAAGAAAAAGACAAAAAUCAAAACUAAAAUGACUGAAUCUGAAACACCAACAAUAAUAAGUUCUGAAGUUGAUUUUCUAGGGUAGGAGAGAGAAACAAACGGAAAAAAAAGGGUCAUUGGUAGGGGUGAGUAAAAAAACUGAAAAACCAUUUAAAUAGAGAAAACUGAAAAAAAAUAACCGAAAAAACCGAAUUGUGAAAAAAAACCUAUUAAAUUGAUUAAAAUUUUGAAAAAAACCGACCAGUUCGGUUCUGGUUUUAUAAGCCUGAAACCGGAAAAAACCAAACCGAAAAAAACCGAGUCAAAUCGGAAAAAACUGAGCCAAACCGAGAAAACCGAGCCAAACCGGUUUUUGUCCGAAAAAACCGAACCGAACCGAAACCGAUCAGUUUGAACCGGUUUCGGUUUUUUUUUUUAAAUUCAGUUUGGUUAUUUUUUUUGAUAAAAACCGAACCGAACCGAAAAUGAUCACCCCUAGUCAUUGGUGACAAACCAGUUACCUUUAGAUGCCACCCACCACCAAUAAAGAAAAAAGACACGGAGAAGAACCAAAUGAGACGGCGAAAGCUCAUUUUACACCAUUAGAAGACGCCGCACACGCCACCCAAAAUGUGUGGCGUCUCCCACACGCCAUCAGCUUUUUGCAUUUAAAAACUAUAAAUUAAAUGGUAAAUUACGUUACAACUCUCAACCAAACCAAUAAUUACAAAAAAAAAAGCAUGAGAAAAAGACAAAAACACCCCUAUUUCAAUCGCUUAAAUCUUUUGUCCUUAAGGUUAUAUAUUAUAUACAUAAUCUUACUGUAUUUUAAAAAGGAAAAAAUAACAAUAUCUCUGCCCUAAAGUGUUAGUUUUUUCUUUAUUCCAGUGGUAUUUUGGUUGUUUUACUGAUCAUAAUAUAUUGCAUAAAUAGAAAUACCUUUAAACAAAUCUAUAUAUAUUGACUAGUUCAAAGACAAAUAAUUUUUCUUAGAAUGACAAAAAAUUCACUAUAUUGUAAUGAUAAAUAGAAAAAUAGCAGUGAGGUUGUAGUAUUUUUCCCUUGAUCUGAUUUAGUUGUUGUGUAACGUGGGACACCAAACAAUGAAGUUGAAGCUCCUUUGCUAAUUAAUUCGUUUCACUGCUUUCUCUGUAAUAUCUCUCCAACCUUAAUUUUUCGUGAUAAGAAAAAAAUAGAGAUUUGUGUGGCUUGGUACAACUUAAAUCAAGGUGGACGUUAUUGAAUAUAUAUUGUUUAAAUUGAAUGAUGUAGCUUAAUGUGAAUUAAUUGGUAGGAAGUAUAUUUUUUUUUAGUUUAACGUGGGUGUCCGGGCCAGCUUGCGCGCACCUCGACUAAUCCCAAAGGCCCUGAAGUUAACGACCAUGUAAGUUUCCAGUGGCCAUCAUAUGAGCAACCACAGAGCUCGAACCUGAGACCACAGAGGGAGCAAACCUCUUAGUUCCAAGCUCUUACCACUAGGUCAUCACCUAGAUAAUUAGUAGGAAGUAUAUUACUGCGAUGGGUCAUGGUGCCAUGUUGGAUCUAAUCCCAUGGCCAGUAAGUAGGAAAUAAUAGUUAAUAGGCUUUUAUGUAAGAGUCUGUUUUUUAUUUUUUAUUUAGAAAUAUAUUAAAAUAAUAAUUUUUUUAAAAAUUUAUUUUUAAUAUUAAUAUAUGAAAACAAUCUAAGAAUACAACAAAAUUUAUUCAAAAUUUUUAAAAACCCUAGCUAAAACAUGGGAUAAACAACCUCUACACGUAAAAGAAUGCCGACACCAGCUUUUAGAGCUCGGCGGCCACAUUAGGGUCGCUAGCUGCGUAGUUUUCUUUUUAUGGAAUGUCGUGUUGAUAUUUUGAAGUAGAAUCUCUUAGCCUUUGUAUUUGAUCAUUCUGUAUUUCAAUCCCCGUCUUUUUGUAUUGCUCGUUGCUGAUGAUCAGCUUCGUGAGAUAUGAGUAUAAUUAGCUUUUAUGGUUUGGUUGCAUAAUAUAACUUUUUUUUUUCACUUAUAUCCUUGGAAGCUCAAAGUUGGUCGAAAUAUAUUCAUGUAUUAUUAUUUUUUUGUGUGUUUUUUAUUAAUUAAUACUCUAAAAUAUAUAGGAAAAGUACUGUAGCUUUUUCUAUAUUUUUUUCCCCAUAUUUUUUUUUGUUUUUUUCCCUUUUUUUUUGGGUUUUCCCUUUUUUUUCUUUUUUUCCCAAGACUAUAUUCUUCUUCUUCUUUUAUUAUUUUUUGUUUUUGUGUUUUUUUAAAAUUAUCUUUGUUGAUUUUUUUAAUAUUGAACUGGUUGAGAAUUUAGUUCUGUAGUUUUUUUCUUUAAAACAUUAUGGAUUACUAUAAUAUUUUCCUACAUGGUUUUUUUUUUUUUAUGAUUUUUUUUUCAAAAUGGUUUUUGUCGAUUUUUUUUUAUAUUGAGCUGGUUGAGAAUUUUGUUUCAUAGUUUUUUUUCCUUAAAACACUGUGGAUUAUUACAAUGUUUCCCCACAUGAUUUUUGUUUUGCUACAGUGUUUCCCAUAUGUAUUUUUUUAAAUUAUCUUUGUCGAUUUUUUUAAAAUAUUGAGUUAGUUGAGAAUUUAGCUUUAACUUUCCCCACAUGUUUUUUUUUUCAUUUUUUUUGCUUUUUUUUUUCAAAAUUGUCUUUUUUUUUGUUUUUUUUAGAAUUGUUUUUGUUGAUUUUAUUUUGUUAAUAUGGAGCUGAUUGAGAAUUUAGCUUUGUAAUUUUUUUUCUUUAAAACACUGUGGAUUGCUACAGUGUUUCCCUACAUGGUUUUUUUUUUCUCUUUUUAUGAUUUUUUUGUUUUUUUUUCAGAAUUGUCUUUGUCGAUUUUAUUUUUUUCAUAUUGAACUGAUUGAGAAUUUAGCUUUGUAGUUUUUCUUUAAAACACUAUGGAUUGUUACAGUGUUCCCACACAUGAUUUUUUUUUUUUAUGAUUUUUUUUAAAAUUAUCUUUAUCGAUUUUAUUAUUUUUAAUAUUGAGCUGGUUGAGAAUUACAACUAUAGAUUUCCUCAUGAAACACUAUAGAUUGCUAUAGUGUUUUCCUGUAUGGUUUUUUUUCCUUUUUUUUGUUAUGAUUUAUUCCAAAAAAAUUUUAUUGAUUUUAUUUUUUUAAUAUUAAAUUGAUUAAGAAUUUAGCUUUGUAAUUUUUCUUUGAAAAUAUUAUGGAUUGUAACAGUUUUUUUUUAUAUUUUUUUUUAAUAAAUCCACGACAAUAUAUAACCAUGGCCGAAGACAUAACAUUUUUUAUUCUAGUUCAAGGUCACCACUCUCAACAAUGAUGUCACAAACAGUAGUGGUGAUAAAUAACAUGGAAAUUUGUCGCAAAGAUUUUGGAGAAAAGGAAGAAAACAUGCACGUGAUUUGAACAUUCCAAGAACUCAGCCAAUCAGCCAAUUCCCUCUUGAAGAGGUAAUGUGAGACACAACGAAGACCUCAUAUGCUGUCGACACGGACCAUCUGAUCCCUAACGAACAAAAGUCAUGGCCACAGUCGCCUUCGGCCAGUCCAUUAGGCGCUCCGUCAAGCAACCUAAAAACGUCAAACCACAUAAUUGGCUAGCUAGUCGCUUACAAACCCAGUUCACGCGUAGUUUUAAAACCCGGUUUUGUUCUUGUGGGUUAAUCCGUUUGAUCUAGAAUCAGAAUUAAACUAAGUUUAAAAAUAAAUAAAAAAGAAAAAGAAAAACUUGAGUCGUUAUUAAUUUAUAAAAAAAAUUAAGAUCAACCUGAAAUUACUCUAAUAACUCAGUCAAAACCUAUCAUGCAGGUCUUAGUCUUGGGUCAAGUCAAUCAUCAGGCCGAGAUUAAAUACUCCGACUUCACGUAUACAAUGGAUGUUAGGUCCAGGAUCAACACAAACAUAGCACAUGCAACUGUCCAAACACGUGUACGGUAAGGAUGAACAUGAUUGAUGUUAGAUUCAUCAUGCAUCGGUGGACCCAGAUACUUUCUUAUCAAGUCUAGUUAUUUUCAGAAUUUAGCUCAUACUAACCAUCUCACCUGCGACGAUAUUAUGUGGGCUCAAUAUUUUUUUAACAAAAAAAACUAAAAAUAUAGGUUUUUUCAAUAUUUUUUUACAUAAAUAUAUAAAGGGUAAAAAAAACUUAUACAAAUUAAAUAAAUCAAGAGUUAUCUAUGUUAAUUAAUAAAUAAAAAUAGUCAUUAAUGAUAACUAAAUACAUAUCUGGAAAAAUCAAAAGUCAAAUGUAAAUCAAGAUAUUUGUUCUCGCAACACGAUUUAUUUACCCAAUUUUGUUUAAUAAUUUUGUUAAUUAAAAUUAAUUUUUUAUUUAAUUAAAUGAUAGCAAAAAUAGACACACAAAUAGAAUUGAUUAAAUAAAAUCAAAUAAAAAAAGAUAUCUCGCGAGGUUGAACUUAUUAGAAAUACCAUGCAAAAAAAUAUUUUUUAAUUAAAAAAAGUCAUAGAUGAAUUAGAAUAAUCUCUUCAAAAAAUAAAUACAAAAAAUAUAAUUAAAAAACAACAACUAUUUUAAAAAAGGCUAAAUAAGAAAAACAAAAAAAAUAGAGAGAAUGUGUAUUAAUUUAAAUAUAUAUUAAAAACAAAAAAAUUGAGAGAAAGGGUAUUAAUUUAAAUAUAUAUUAAAAAUUUAUCUUAAAAAAAAUAUGUUUUUUAAAAAAUAAAACAGAAAAAAAAGGCCAGAUGUUACUGAGCCUGACCCAUCUAGGAAGGGGCAGCAUGUGGGCGUUAAUUUUUUUUUAAUGUAAUUGCGGUAUUUUUUUUAUAGAAAGAACAAUCAGACAACACGUCGUCUAGUAUUUCUUAGAUUCCAGCCAAUGCGGUGAUUGACAAAAUAGGUUAUGUGUUUUUUUUACCAAAAAACUCAUUUCAACCCAUUUGUUUUUUUGUUUUUACCCAAAACACCCAGAAAAGAAACUAAAAACUUUGACAAAUCCAUAAAUGGAGUUAAAAAAAAAAAAACUAAAAUCAGCCCGAAAUAAAAAAUCUUUCCAAGCUCAGAUUUGGUUUUUUAGGCAAUUUUAAGGCACAAAAAACACCUAGGUGGAACUCUCUUCACUAAAUGAAACUCUUUGACACCAAGAUAGACUAUUUUGGUAGCGAUAACACCCUUUUACUUCCUUUACCAUCGAGAUCCAACGAUCUUUCUCUCUCAUCUCUCAAACCAGAAAUUAAAAACUAAAAUAAAAAUUGAACUUUCAUACUAAAAUUGAAUUGAAAAAACAUUAAGGGAUUGGAUAUGUAUAAUUUAUAAAGGGUGAGAACUAAAUUAAAUAUUUUGUGUGAAUUUUGAAACUAUCAUCGUGGCUCAUUUUAUACUUUGGUUUAUAUUUUUUUAAUUUUAUUUUUAAUCAAUAAAUUUAAUCUAAUUAACCUUCAAUUUGGCCUAGAAAAGAUGUAAUUGCACAAAAAAAAAUUGAAAAAAAUAAAAUUUUGAACAGAAAAUCCACAAAUAUGAAAGAGUGAACAAUAUUCAGGUACAAUGUUUUCACCGCAUAGUUUAGAGUACUUGUUAAUAAUUGUGGAAUGAUAUGCUCAUAUUAUUUGUUAACAAGUCCAAUUAUUAAAAAAUUAUGACAAGUUGGCAAUCACUCGAUGGCUCGCGAUACGCCACGUGCCAGAUAAAAGUGAAAAUACAGUGUGAAAAAGUGAAAUCAUGGUGACAAAAGCCCUGCUGUGAAAAAGAAAAAAGGACCUACUUUUCCGUUUAAUGUUUUGUUGUUUUAAUGGAAAAGCUAGUCACUUUACUGUACAAAAAAGUGAAAAUACAGCGUCAAUGAUUUAGAGGUACAGUAAACUUGCUACACUCAUAGAAGACCUCCCUUUUUAGUUUCUUUUAAUAAUAAUAAAAAUAAUUGAAAAGUCCAGGGGUGUUUUGGUAACUUGGUGGACACCCUCUCAAGCGCACCUUAUAAGUAGUGGCUCCAUCAUUUGAUGUAGUGUUGCAGUUUAGACAUUAUUACACUUCCCUCGAAAAGACAUAUCCUCUCCCUAGGUUCUUCCUUCCUGUCCUUCAUCGGACUUUAGCCUAGCACUACUCUAAGGUACUAGGAGGGCAAGUCCUUUUGUACCGGCACUGUAUACUUUGUCAUCUCGGCAUGCAAAACUCUCCUCAAGGUACGAGUAGAGACAGUCCUUUUGUACGAUUACUGCUUCCUUCAAUUCAUCUACGAGUCUCUGUGCGCGCGCGCGUGUAUAUAUAUAUAUAUAUAUAUAUCUCCUCCUCUCCAUUUUCUAUAUUCAAACAGAAAACACAUCUAGCUACUGUAAACGGAAAGGUCUACAAUUUUAUACUAGCUAGACUGUUUAGACAGAAAACUAUUGAUCGUUUUUCUAGCUUUCUUGACUCUCUUCAAGCCAGUUAGUAUCGAGCAAUGUUCAUCAAUAUCCCUUAACAGAAUCUCAUAUUAAUAUCUUCGUUUUCUUUUUUUAAUAUCGUUGAGAAGAUUGUAGCAUGGAGAGAGCAAACACAUCCUUAGCGAGAACCAAAUCAGAACAAUUGGCUGAGACAGUGGAGGCAGCGUUUAAAUCUCCCAUGAACAACGAUGGGGUUUCCGAAGGCGGCAGCGGCGGGACACUCUCAGGUAAGUCCAGCAAGAGGCUAACGACGGCAGCCUCACCGGGACGUACCACUUCGGGUGGUAACAAAAAUACACACAUUAGGAAGUCAAGGAGUGCACAGAUGAAGUUUGAAUUGGAUGACGUCAACAGUGGAGCAGCUCUAAGCCGGGCCUCUAGUGCCAGCCUGGGCUUCUCUUUCUCCUUCACUGGCUUCAACAUGCCACCUGAUGAAAUAGCUGACUCCAUGCCGUUUAGUGAUGAUGAUAUACGUAAGUCUAUAUACACCUUUUUUUAAUGAUUCUUCAUUGUUUACUAGCAUAUGGUUGGAGGUGUUAUAAUUUUGUAUGGUUUGUGUGGUCCAGUACUUGAGUAUGGGUGGUGGAGGUAUGUCCAGUCUUUGUCCUGGCUUGAUAAUCUGAAAAGGUUUCAUGAUCUAGCUAGAAAGUAGAACCUUUAGGCAUGAAGAACAAGCUACAGGGCUUACUGCAUAUUGAUCUGGUGAUCAGAACAACAUGAAUGUGAGAGAACUCAUGAAAUUUAUGACUUGCUUGGUUUUCUGUUUCCACGCAUACGCAUGCUGCUUUUUCUUUGAACCGAGUACAUAUUUCUAUAUCGUAUCACGUUAUCACUUUCAUAAUUUGCAAACGGGGUCUCCUAAAUUCGGGUUUUUUUUGGGUUUUCCUCUGAAGUAAAAGUAAAACUCAUAAAAUAUGACGAGUUUCACUUUUUAUCUUAAAAUGGAGCAAUUCAUGAGCGAGUAGCUACUAAGUUAUAUGAGAAUAGUGCAUGGGUGGUACUGAGCUAGUCGCAGAUAAUAAUUGGGGUCACAGAGAGUUAGGCAAGACAUGCACUUGCCAAGCCUUAAAUGUGGGAAAAAUUCAAUAUGAAAAAGCGGCCAGCUUGUGACGAGGGGGAGGAAAGUGAGCAUGAUCAUGUUAACAACCACUUGCAAAAAUGGGAAGGCAGUGCGUGAGAAGCGGGUCCCUUGUCUCUUCUCCUGUAAGGAAAAAACCUAGGCCUCCUUUCAACCUUGGAUUAGAGAUCUGCAACAUAAGCCUAAUGAUACCCCACUCAGCCCACAUAAAUACUGAUGGGGUAUUUUUGGCUCUUAUUUUCGUAGUGGUAGUUACUCAGUCUUGCUUCAGUGCGCACUGCAUUAUUUUUCAUGUCCAAGUCACUGGUGUUAAUGGAAGGUUGAUGUCCAAUCUCUUUCUGCUAGCUCAUAACCACUUGAGUAGAUUCUCUCCCUGUUUUUUUUUUCCCUACAGUUAUUUGGAUCCUUAUGAGCUUAAUUUCCAAUACUGAAAGUAUUAAAUUCAUCUCUUUUUUUGGGUAUAAAAAUAAGUUAUUCAUAUCAAAAUUAGGAGAUUUAGGGGUUUUUUUUCUUGCAAAUCUACAGCACUACAAGUAUAUGGUGUUUAUCCUCCUCCUUUUUUUCCCCUUCCAAGAAUAGAUAUAAAUUAAGUCUUCCAUAUGGGCCCCAGAUCUUGGGACAAGGUUCCUGUUUAUUAUUAUGAUUAGCAAAUUGGGCCCCAAACUCUAUAGACUUUUGCUGACUUGUUGCCUCACGUAACUUUCAUCAAGGAUAUUGAUUCCCCUCGUCUUGGCAAAAAUCAUGCACCUAGAUCAUAUGUGACUUCAGAAAAUGAUAUCAGCACUCUUCCUCUUCUGUCGUAAUCCUCUCUCAAUGAUAAACUCUUAAAUGGUUAGGUGAUGGGAGGAUCGUACGUGACAUUGAGGUUACAGAGUUCUCUUUACUGUUGAUUGAAUUUGUUGGGAUCUUUAAAUUGUGACCAUUGCAACCAUAUCUUCAGGAAUUAUUGCAGCCACAAAGUUGUGAAAUGAUAUGACAGAAGCUUCAAUCUCUCCAAUCAAGUUAUGAUUCAAUUGGCAUGUUAGCCGAUACUAAUAAUUUAGAGAAAUAUUGGCUAAAAUGAGAAUUGCUUAAAAUGUUCAUCACAUACCAUGUUAUUUAUCAUUCAAGAAGCAAAACAACUUCUUCUUCUUCUUUAGCAUCAAAAACAUCUUGAUUCUGUCAUUAGUUUACACAGUCCUAUAUCUAUGGUUGUUGCAGCGGAGGAUCUUGAAGCCGGAAUGCGUAAGCAGAAAUUUCAAACUGAACCCUCCUUGCCAAUUUACCUGAAGGUAACAAAAUCUAAUUUGCGAUGCUGCAGGUUUCCAGUCUUGUUCUUCUUUAUUCUCCAAGUAGAGCUAGCAUGCACCGGUAGUAUUCAAACUAGCCUUUCCUAAUGGUGCCACGGAUUGAUACCGAUACGUUCUAUUUGGACAGGCAGGGAUGGAGAUUUAUGAUCUAGCAAUCAACGCGAUCCAUAGAAUAUGGUUAGCAUGGUCAGGUUCAGUCUUGUACAGAGUUUCAUUGUAUAUGAUAUUUUUGUACAAGACUCACCCUUCUUUCCAACAAAAAAAGAAAAUGCAGUACAAUUUAUUAACUUGCCAUGAAAACUACUAAUGGGGUCUUAAGAGUUCUAUUAACCAUUUGUAAGAACAGGAACAUGCAUUUGAGGAUAGAAAGCUAUCUUCACUUGUUUUCUUGAGUCUAAUUAGACUAGUUCCCGAGUCGAUCUCAGGUAUUGAAUAAAAAGCAAUGCUUAUUUGUCAAGGAAAGAAGGGUAUGGACAGUUUUUCUUAUAUUUUGUUAGAAAUUAGACUUUCUAACUUAGCAAUUAUCAGAUAAUCAUGUAAUGAAGUUUCCACCAUUUACCGAAUUGAACUUUGUUCUUGUUUGGGAAUCUGCAGUUCAGAGAUGUUACAUACAAGGUGAUCAUCAAAGGAAUGACCUCAACCGAGGAAAAGGAUAUCUUGAAUGGGAUCAGUGGUUCGGUGGAUCCAGGGGAAGUUUUGGCUCUUAUGGGACCUUCAGGAAGUGGAAAAACAACACUUCUGAAUCUGCUUGGCGGCAGGUUAAAUCAGCCCACUGUCGGUGGUUCAAUCACUUACAAUGACGGACCAUACUCCAAGUUCUUAAAAAGUAGGUAAGAAACUUAGAUAUCAGUGCAAGACUGGUUCGGUACUUACAGCGCUGAAUUGACUUGUUACUUGCCAAUUUAUUUUUCAUCGCGAUGACCAAAAAUCAAUGAAAAGACGCAAGAACCUGAAUUUAGCUAAGUCAGAACUUUUGUUGCAUGUACGACUAGAAAUUUGAAUCAUUGCAAAUGCACAUCAAAAUGACAUAAAAAAACAUAUGGCAGGAUAGGAUUCGUGACACAAGACGACAUUCUGUUUCCUCACCUUACAGUGAAAGAAACAUUGACAUAUGCAGCCCUCCUUCGAUUGCCAAAGACAUUGACAAAACAACAGAAGCAAAAACGAGCCAUGGACGUCAUCUAUGAGCUAGGCUUAGAGAGGUAAUGAAUUCUCAUUUCCCUGCCAUCAUCAAUCAAGGCAAAUUUGUAAUCAAUUCAAGUCAAGAAUGUUAAUAAUAGAAAUAAAUUCUGCAGCGUCUGAUUGAUCUUGCUCAUUCUUGAAAGCUAAUGUUGAUGUGCCUAGGUGCCAAGACACCGUGAUUGGUGGCUCAUUUGUGCGUGGAGUGUCAGGUGGGGAGAGGAAAAGAGUUUGCAUUGGCAAUGAGAUUAUAAUCAACCCUUCAAUCUUGUUUCUUGAUGAACCAACCUCGGGCUUGGAUUCUACAACUGCUUUAAAGACAGUGCAGCUGUUACAAGAUAUGGCAGAGGUAUUCUAUUUGUGAUGCUUCUUAUUCAAGUUUUUGGCCCUUUCAUCAGGAGAUAGUGUUGCAUUUUUCUGCUACCAACUUGUUUCCAUUUAAUGGCAGGGUGGGAAAACAGUGGUGACAACUAUCCACCAGCCAUCUAGUAGACUCUUCCACAAAUUUGACAAGUUGAUUCUUCUUGGGAAAGGGAGUUUGCUUUAUUUUGGAAAAUCAUCAGAAGCAAUGCUGUACUUCUCAUCUAUAGGUUGCAACCCGCUUAUUGCCAUGAACCCUGCAGAGUUCUUGCUAGACCUUGCAAAUGGCAAUAUAAAUGAUGUUUCUGUCCCAUCUGAAUUGGACGAUAAAGUGCAAAUAGUGAAUUCAGAUGCAGGAAAAAGAAACGGGAAGCCUUCUCCUGCAGUUGUUCAUGAGGUAAUGAAGUAUACACAGACAGACUUUUGCGUUCUUAACAUCAAAAGCUGCUAUUUAACUAGAUAAUGUUUCUGUCGAAAACAGUACCUCGUGGAGGCCUAUGAGACACGAGUUGCGGUCAAAGAGAAGAAGAAACUAAUGGUUCCUAUACCCCUUGAUGAAGAAGUGAAGGCAAAAGUGUCUUCUCUGAAACGACAAUGGGGGGCAAGCUGGUGGCAACAAUAUACCAUUUUGUUCUGCAGGGGAAUCAAAGAAAGGCGGCACGACUAUUUUAGCUGGUUGAGAAUCACCCAAGUUCUCUCUACUGCAAUUAUCUUGGGAUUACUAUGGUGGAAUUCAGAUACUAAUAGCCUCAAAGGUCUUCAAGAUCAGGUAAAUAAUGGUCCGGCCAAGAUCAACCCUUGGGCCUUCUCUUUUCCAUUUCAGGCUCAAAGUUUACUGAAGCACUUCUCUGAAAACCUAUCCGAAACCAUUGAAAAUCAACUGAAUUACAAAAAAUCAGUCUGGCUCAUAAUCACAAAAGCACAUUUUUUGUUUCCUGAAGCUCCUUUACACAAACAACAUAAUUUCACUUAGUAAACUUAAACCUUCUUGGAUUACAGGCAGGGCUGCUGUUCUUCAUUGCGGUUUUCUGGGGAUUUUUUCCUGUAUUCACAGCAAUCUUCACAUUUCCCCAAGAAAGAGCCAUGUUGAGUAAAGAACGGGCAGCUGACAUGUACAGACUAAGUGCAUAUUUCUUGGCAAGGACUACAAGCGACCUUCCACUUGAUCUAGUACUACCAGUACUUUUCCUUCUCGUCGUCUACUUCAUGGCAGGCUUGCGAAUGAGUGCUGCUCCAUUUUUCCUAACCAUGCUCACGGUUUUUCUCAGCAUUAUUGCUGCUCAGGUGAGACUAGUUUGCAAUACUAACGAAGAAGGGUGUCAAAGAAAAACAAUUUAAAAUGUAAGUAUUUAAUCAAGCAUGUCUCCAUGGCAGGGACUCGGACUAGCUAUUGGGGCUACCCUGAUGGACUUAAAGAGGGCCACAACUCUAGCUUCAGUUACUGUGAUGACCUUCAUGCUGGCUGGAGGGUAUUUUGUAAAGGUAAGUUCAUCAAAGAUCAUUUCAUACAUCUCUCUCUAUUGCUCCUCUCCAAUGCAAUAUUUGAGUGAAUUUUUUCACAACAUUUGAAUUUUAGAUUCGCACCACAUGACACAUAUUGCUGACAUUGAUUGACCGAUAGAAAAGGACUACUCAAUAACGUCUACAAUCAAUAUUGAAGUUUCAGAGCAUGUCAUCUAGAGUGGAGUUCAUUACUUCACUAAUUGAUAACUCUCUCCCAGAAUUAGUAUUGAUUCAACUUUUUCUCACCUAAACGCAAAGAAUGGUCACAAAUGGUCUUCGAUUUUGCAGAGAGUUCCAGUAUUUGUAUCUUGGAUCCGCUAUCUGUCUUUCAACUACCACACCUAUAAGCUUCUCCUCAAGGUUCAAUAUAAACACAUGACACCAGUUUUAAAUGGAAUGAGAAUAGACAGUGGCUUGACGGAAGUUAGUGCCCUGGUGGCAAUGGUUUUUGGCUACCGUCUCUUGGCUUAUAUUUCCUUGCGGAGAAUGAAGCUUUGUGCGCAGUAAGCAAUAUUAUUCAGUGCGCAUUAUCGACAGUUAACUUCCACGUUUGACUUCAAAGAUCUAUUCCAAGAAAACUUGGGUUCCACGGAUCAGAGAAAGGGAUAUAAGCAAGUUAUCAUAUUUCAGCUCCAUGAAGAUUUUUGGAUGGAAAAAGCCUCAACGACGAUAUUUAUGCAGUAUCUUAGGCAUGUAAGUUGAUUUUUCCGCGAGGAGAAUUCCUAGAAAUGCAAUCACGUUAUAAGAAGCUCGCACUCACAAGCUCGUAUCUUUUAUAUUAAAAUGGAGUGAUGUAAUAAUAAUUGUCAGACAUACCUACCUAUGACUAAUGCAUAUCUAUUGGAAUUAGCGACUUCUAAAAGUUGGGGGAAUGAAAAACAUGGUAUCGCAUAUGAUUUGAUGGAACUUUAUUUACGUUUUCCUUGGAAAGAAAAUUUCCAAGAGCAACCGCUUAAAUACAUAGAAACCACCAGUGAUUGCUAACCAAACACCAAAUUGAGAGGGAAAAAAGGUUGUCGCACCCGAUAUCGCGGCGGCCUUAAAAAUAUAUAUUUGGGAAGAACGGAUUUUUGGCAUCCUGUUCUUUAAUAGGGAAUGAUCUUAUUUAAGGAGUCGUCACCUAGUAUUAUGGUCACUAGGAACUCUAACUGGUCAGCAGAGAUUCUAUGGUACGAGAUUGGUUAUGCAAAAAGGAAAGAUAUUAUCACCCCUUAAACGUCCUGCCCGAGGCAGGCUGCAUUGCUAAUUUUGUCAUAAAUUGCUAAUGUUUUGUUGGUUUAUGCUAUGAUGGUUUGCAUGUGAUAUUCCUGGCUUUGACGCCAGUGAAUAUUCAAAUACGGAUACUUCCAACUCUGGCGUUGGUAAAUAUUACGUAGUUAUAAAACAAAAUAAAUUUAAAUCCAUAUUUUUAUAUUCCUGACUCUGGCGUCAGUCAAUAAACAAAUAAAAUAAAUUUAUUUUUACGCAUGCACAAUUUUUUUAUUUUUCCAGCUAAAUAAAAUAAAAUACAAUGAAAGAAUAAUAUAAAUUUAAACCGGUAUUUUUAUUCCUGACUCUGGCGUCAGUGAAUAAACCAAUAAAUUUAUAUUGUUUUUAUUCAUGCAUACACAUUUUUUAUUUUUUUAAUAAUUUUUUUUGGGCUGGGCCCAGCUCAGCCCAUGUGGCUGGGCUGGACCCAGCCAGCCCGGCCAGGUCACUGGCCCAAGCCAGUGACCCGGCUGGGCAAAAACUAAAAGCACGCGUGAAUUGGUCACGCGUGCGCGAACACUGGUGAAGGUAAUUAAAUUACCUUCACACAGUGUUCUUGUAACAUUAACAAUUACAUUUUGAAAUGAAGAUACAAAGGGGAUGAAGUCAUACCUGCUUCUGGAGAUCGAAGAUGUUUGCAGCGCUGAUGAUGAUUCUCGCCUACUGUUUCCCCUUGUCUUCCUUUUGUGAUCACUUGUCUGUGCUUUCCUUCUUGCUUUCUCAGCAGCUUUUAAAACUACGAAGAUGAUGUCGGUCUGCUGUGAGUGUUCUUUGAAUGAAUACGGGUCUUUCCUUUGUUUGCAGGGACGAAGACAAUUUCAAGGAUAAUUCUCGUCACUGUGUGUGCUGCCCUCUUGUUCUCUCCUUCUCUCUGUAUAUUUUUUUUGCUCUGGUUUUUACUCUGUUCUUUGCUCUGGUUUCUGGGUUGAUUUUUCGGGUCCCUGCUUACGUUUUCUCCCCUUUUUUCUUCUCUGUUUUUCCUUUUUUUUUUCCUCUGAGAUCUGUAUUUAUAGUGUCAGAGUCUUUUCGCGUGUGAGAAACCAAGUUUCAAUCAAACUCAUUCUUUUCUUUGAAGUUUGAAUUUAAUUAAAAAUCAAAUUUGAAAGCGGAUAAUUAUCAUUAUCUUAAAGACAAGGAUUAUCUCGAAGAUAAAAAUUAUCUUGAAGAUAGGGAUUAUCCUGAAUAUUAAGAUAGAAUGACAAAAGCACAUUAUAGUCCUUAAUUUUCACGGAAGUUGACAAAUUACACUUUUCAUCGAAAUAAAUCUCUGAUAUUUUAAUUUUUUAUUUUAAAUUCUAUAAAAAUUAAAUUAAAAGCUAAAAGGCAAAAAUUAGGUUAUGACAAAGGUAAACGAAAAAGAAAAUCUUGAAGAUCCCUCUACAACUCUGUGUACUUUUGAUCCAGCCUAAGGAGUGAGAAUCACCCGCAGUGAUUCAACUCACAGUUUGUGAAAGGUUAAUAUUUUUGGAUACCUGGUUCACUAGCUUGGCAAUUGCACUUCGCUUCUAUCUCUUGCAGAUCAUUUCCACUAACCUGUGUUCUUCAGGCAAAAAUGUCAUGUUGCAGGCUCUGUUUUUCUUUUCCCUGUUCUCAAGCCAAGGUCCUUAACCAACCAAGAAGCCGGAGGAGAGCAGCAUCCAUUACAGGGGACCUUUUCUCAAUGCCUAUGAUAAGAUUUUGGGGGGGGGGGUAAACAGAAAAAAAACUAGUCAUUUAAAGGGAGUAGGAAGCUCAUCAAAGUUGACAUACAAUUUACUUUUCUUGUCCUUGCACCUAAACGUAGGAUAAUUUUUUAAAUAGAUCUCGAUCAGGAAAAAGAAAAACACCUUGAAGGUUUAACAGGGUUGACAUUCAUUAUUUCAUCAAUGGAGAAAAUGCAUAACUAUAAUUUCUACCACGACUUGAUCAUGCUUUCACAAAUGGUCAGCAGAACUACCGAAGCCAAUAUCAAACACAUUGAGAAUGAGAAAUGUUUCCUAGCUUACCAAUAUCAGCAGCUACUCGAUGAGCACACAUUACUCCUGAAAAAGCUACAGCUAUAACACCCUGUCCUGGAAAGCAGCUAUCGCCAACACAGUAAAGACCAUCUACAGCCUGCAAGUUUCAUCAUGUCAUGACCCAACUGAUUUUCUCCCAUGAACUACUUGUGUCAAUGGAUCAGUUCGAUCCAAAACUUGAGAUAAAUCGUGUAAUCUGAAAAAAGAUUCAUAAGUGGUUGUUAAUGGAGUUUGGCAGGCUUGAGAGGAGUGGAGUAUUGACAUUUCAACAAGUGUUGAUGGCACUUCACUUUUGUAGGGAGAGGACCAGAGAGGUAAAGAAAGAAAGUGAAGCACCAUUGAUAAAGGGCAAAGGCAAAUAGCCUGAGUAUUUCUUGCUUAAAUGAUUUCUAAAACUACAAUUACUGUGACAUUCAUGAGAGGUAAUGAUUGGACUUACUGUUGUAUUGAAUGGCAUUCCCAAUAAACCUUUAGGAGUACUGCGUGGCAUUGGUCCAUAUGUACCCUUGUCACGAGCCAAGUACCUCCUGUGUGUCUUGGGUGAACCUACCUGCCAUGAUUGCAUGUACUUUUGAAGCCAAAACAAAUUUGAAUGACAAGAGUCGAUAAUAAACAUAGUAUUCCAUUCACUGAAACUUGGAAUGUAAGAACUUUGAAUGAGCUCCCACCAAACAAGGCAUGCAGUUAAUAAAGUACAAAAUGGAUAGUGGGAAGGACUUCUUCAAAUUAGAGAAAUUCGUGAAUUUAAAGCCUCUAUAAGGAUCCAACCACUUGAGGUUGGUUUAUGAAUUUGUGUGUAUCAUUCAGGCUUACAUCCAUAAGUAGUGAUCAUUUCCUUCUCAUAUGCCAUCACCUGACACAAUCUCUUUACAUUCUUCAAUGAAUAUGUACUUUUAUGAUAAUGUGAUAUAUACCUCCAUGAAAGUAAUUGAUGAUCUGAGCCCCGGAAAAAGUUUCUUCUCCAAUCUGCUUAUAAUCUCAUAAGCCACAACCUUCUUCUUUGCCUCGUAGUCCUCUGUCGAGAGUCCCUAAACAGUUAAGUCCAGCUAUUAGGAAUUUAGCUGACAGAGGGAGGGAAAGGAUAGAAAUAAGACAUUAAGUAUAGCUAUUCACUUAAAAGUUACAGUAGUGAACUUACCUCCCAGUCUUCAAUGGAAGAUGUUGUAAAUAUGUGGAGUAUAUGACGGCCUUCAGGAGCCAAUGAUGAAUCAAGAACAGUUGGAAUGCUUAGGAAUAUGCUUCCAUAAGGCUCCUCUAAUCUUGCCCAGUCAUCCUAAGUCAAAACAAAAGAAUUAAAGUUAAAUGUGUCAAGCUCACAAUUCCAGAUAUAUGGUCUCAGUUUGUGAGCAAAUGAAUACCUCAAGAACAAAGUGGUGGCAAUCUGUAUCUGGUGGUAGAACCUCGGCUUUAACACCCAUGUGAAUGGAAAGAAAAGAUGGAGCCUUGACAUAAACUUUUUGAAAAUUUUCUUCCUCUUUUGGAAGGGUUUCUCCUUUCAACAACUUCCCUGCAACAUAUUUAAUUACUUCAUAAUAACUGAAAAAGCCCAGUGCUAGAGCAGCAAAACGUUAUUGUCAAAUCAAAUAAAUUAGAAUGUUGGAAUCUGCCAAAACCAACCAAAGGUAUCCCAUCUAGUAGCAUUUGAUAUUAUGGUUUUGGCAAAGAACUCCCUUCCAUCUGAAAGCCUCACUCCUACCUGCCAAAUUCAAGUGAAACUAAAAUAGAUAACAAUAUUAUCAUCUUCCUUUUUUUUAUUUCUUUUUGCAUUUAUAAAACCAAGGAUUCAAUUCUAGCACCAUUUAUCCACUAUUUAAAACUCACAGCCUUUCCAUGCUCAAGAAUGAUGUUGGUCGCGUUUGCCCUGUAAAGAAUUUCACUGCCCUGAUCAAUCAGACCUUUUGACAAGGACUUUGCAAUUCCACCAACCCCACCAACAGGAUAAUUGAUCCCUCCAAAAUGCCUAUCACAUAAAACCUGGUGCUGAUAAAAAAAGAUUAGAAUAUACAUAUUGGAGAGGUCCAAAGUUAUUUAAACUGCUCACCAUGCCCGCAUUGAUCAUUGGGGUCUGCAAAGCAUUGACUGUGCUUACUAUGAAACACUGCAGAGAAACAACAGAUAAAACUUCUUUAUGAGAUUGCAGGACCCUCUUUCAAUACCCAAAAGACCAUUAAAUAUACAAAAUUUAUCAAAGAAUUGAAUUCAAAGUAUAUCACCUCUGCAUCAAUGAAAGACAACAACUCAGGAUCGUUUAUGUACUUUCGAGCGAUGUCUCCAGCAUUUUGGGGCAGAUAAUAAGCUGCAGAGAAUAGAAGCAUCUCAUUAGAGAAGUUUAAAAGAAAGAAACAAUUAUUUUUUUGGUUUAAUUUAGUGACUAGAAUGGAAAAAAAAUUCAUGAUAGGGAAAUGAAAAGCAAAAAAUAAAUAAAAAUAAAGAUUGAAGGACCAAAAGAGAUGUGACUUUCAAUAUUGACUAUCCAAAGCUCCAACCUUAGAACUAAAAUAGAAGAUCAUGAUAAACAUUUGUAAUUUUUUUUUUGUGAGUGUGUGUGUGUGUGAAUUAGAACAUUUUCUUGACCAUCCAAACCAAUAUGAUAUCAAGGAAUGCUCCAAAAAAUUUUGGGGCCAGCACUUUGUCUUUUAAGCAGUCAACCUGGAAGCAAUGAGCACAGCUGCAAUUGUCUAAUAAUUGAGAGUUUUUCCAAGAUCCAUGCUCGACAGUAUUUUUUUUCUAAUCUAUUGCAGCAAUAGCUUUGAACAUCAAUACAAGUUUUGUUAAUUAGAAAUUUCAUGGAACUUAAAAGUUGCAGUUCCAUCUUGUUUUCUACCAACAAUAAUUUUACAAUUAAAUUAAUGCCCAGGUACAUUAUCUGCAACAGUUUUCCUUGCUCAAAUGAUGGAAAAAUAGAUGUCCUGAUUGUGAUUGGAGCAAGUAUACAGUAUCUACACCCUGUAUGCAUCUUGCUAUUGAUUCUGAUUUUAUAAAAACCUGUUGGAGAUGUAACAAGCUCCCAUUCAAAUCAAUUAGUAAAUUUGAGAGGAAAGGAUAGGAAAAAUACCUAGUGUCAAGCAUUCAAGAGGCUUCUGAAAGAAUUGUCCAAGCAGGUAGAUUGGCUCCUCGAGCGACUUCAGUUCCAAAGAGUUCAAGGCAUUGAAUAUCUACCCGACAAAAUAAAUGACAAAAUAAAUGCUACGGUAAGUGAUGAUCAACAAGUAGACACAAAAUACUGAUAGGAAGUUGCAUUCACCAUAAUUUAUGUACCUUCCAGCAUUCACUAUAGAAUUUAAGGAUCCCUUCCUUUUCAUGGGGAAACUUAGCAGUAAGUUCUGAGAUGAAGUCGCUGUACUCUUUGGGAACUUUAACAGAAAGGUUAUUAGGUAGAUGAAAAUGGACAGUAGUGGGAUCAGGAAUCACCUCCAUUUCACAACCAACUGCUGCCAAUGCUCGUGUUAUCAUAUUUAGGUUGCCCUGCCCAAAUUUUAGGCACAUAUCAACGCUGAAGACUUUAGUGAUUCACCAAAGCACGCAGUGGAUAAAAGUUCAGCGGAGAUAGCUUAGUUACAUAACAAGAGCAAAUAAGCAAUAAAAUGCUUACAGUGAGGAGUCUUACAGGCAUUGAGGUUAAAAUCCUUACUGAAGUCCGGUAAACUUACCCAAAAACCUGAUGAACUUGGCAAAAUCCAUUUAAACCUAAUCGAAAAAUCUUAUCUACUAAGCACACUUCUAUUGGUUUAGUGGAAAUUCUCUUUAUGCAUGACCAUAUUUCACUAGGUUACUUACCUUCUGCAAAUAACCAUCCAAACACUAAAAAACAGUAAUAGAAUCUUCAAAAUCAUGCCAAAAAUGCAUUACAACCUUAUUCCAACUCAAUCAACAAAAUCAAGUCCUUAAUAAACAAAUAAAUCACAACGCAAAUAACAACAAUAAAGAAAUAUGGAAGAACAAUAACAACUGACCUUGUCACUGAAACCAAACAUAACAGAAGAGCCAACAUCAAAAGUAUAUCCAUCCCUCUCAUAAUACCCAGAACUCCCACCAGGAAUCACAUACUUCUCCAAGACCAAAACUUUAGCUCCCUUCACUGCCAACUGUGUAGCAGCAACCAACCCAACAAUACCAGACCCAAUAACAAUUACAUCAUAAUCACUCCUCUCUCUGCUCACUCCUUCAUUUCCUUCAAUAUCCACUUCUUUAUCCACAGUUAACACGGCCUUUGACCUCAAAAUAAAGUCCUUAUUUAACUUUACUUCACCAAGACUGUCAAUUUUGCUUUUUAUGUUUCUGGGCACAAUAUAACCACUGAAAACUGAGGUUUGGACAGGUUCUACAGACGAAAUCCUAUGUUUUUGGCUUCUGGGUCUGAACCUCCCUAACUGGACAGUAUUGAACUGACCAGAAAAUAUAGAAUUCUUGAACCCUAGACUCAUGUUACUAAAUAGCUCUUAACUAAAACUAAAACUCAAUGUUCUGUGGGCGUCCAAAGAACAUUUUGGACAGAUAUUUUCUUGUUUAGAUUUAUGGGUCUUGAAGAAAAAAUAGCUGUGAGUCAGUUGAUUUGAUUUAGUACAGGGAUAGACAGAUAGUGAGUGAGAAAGAAACCUGUUGUGGGCUCUUUAUGAGAAAAAACAAGGGGGUUAGCAGUAAGUGAUGUCGCUGAAUUUGGAAGUGGCAGUGUAUAGUGUAGGCAAAGAUUGGUUAAGGAUUCCUGUCCAUGAUUCUCUUCUCUCUUCGAAGAACAGACAAUGACAAUUCAAGUUACAAUGGUCGUGUUAUUUAAACGGUUGAAGGAUGUGCAGUGCUUUGGUUCCAUUGGUCGUUGGUUUUUGUCGAGUAGUGAUGGUUGCCGCCUGCCUGACUGUUGGAAUAGAUUAAAGUUUUUUUUCCACGUUAGCACUAAAAUAUUUUUCAAACUAUUAUGAUUAGAAAAAUACUUCGAAACACUAGUCGUGGAUAUAUUACAUGCGUGUUCUAUCAUGUAAUAUAUACACGACUAGUAUAAAAGCAGCAGCUCAAGCUUAUCCAUAAAGUUUUUCACCACAACAAAUUCAACACAAUAAUUUCAUAUUCAAGUAAACUUAAUUGCAAUAUCAAGACAAUUUAUUAUAUAAAUAAUAUCAAUUCAAUUACAAAUUAAACUACAUAAUUACAUUUAACAAAUUAAUUUGUCAAUGGGUAUACAUCAUUAGAACCACGAACAUGAUGUUAUUGUGCAUGAUAAAUAACUUUUAUCUUUUUCUAUUGUAUUGUCCGAAUAUUAAGUCUUCUCGGUCUCAUCAAGUGAAAAAUAGCAUGAUGAAACCAUCUAGGUGAUGACCCAGUGGUAAGAGUUUGGGACCAAGAGGUUUGCUCCCUCUGUGGUCUCAGGUUCGAGCCCUGUGGUUGCUCAUAUGAUGGCCACUGGAAGCUUACAUGGUCGUUAAUUUCAGGGCCCGUGGGAUUAGUCGAGGUGCGCACAAAUUGACCCGGACACCCACGUUAAACUAAAAAAAAAAUAGCAUGAUGAGAACCAAAUAUUAAAAACAUCCUGCACAACAUCUUCAGUAGUUAUUUCAUGUUUUUGCUUUUUGAGUGGAUUUUUGACUGUGGAUUUAUAGUGGCAUUUGUUUAGAACAUGGAGUUCUAUAAUCCUUAAAACCACAAUUUUUUAAGCUAUAACAGGAAAGUGAAAAUGAGAUUAAUUUUGUAAUUAAAUAUGUCCAAUAAAGGAAAAGGCCAGAAGAGAAUAUUUGGGAAACAGUACCUAAUGAAGCAUAUGCUUAUCUCUUCUCCCAAAUGUAAGAGCAUCUCCAACCGAGAAGGUAAAAGAAGAGCCAAAAGGAAAAUCUUAUACUUUUAGCUUUUUUAUUUGUUUAUGUCAACUCAAACCGGGUAGCUAAACUCACAGUUAAAAUAGCUGUUGAGUACGGUAAAAGCUAUUUCUAUCUUCUUCUGUAGCAAAAGGCAAAUGUAGCAAAAGGCAAAUGAAAACGUUGGCAACCGUUUUUUUCUCUGUUGAUUUAUAUCCGUUGGCCAACGUCUUCAUUUUGUAUCCGUUGGCCAACGUUAAUAUUUUUCCAUUUAAAAGCAGAACCAACCGAAGGAAGAAGACAACAUUUAAGCAAAACAGAAGGAAAAAAAACUUACCUGCAGAUUUCACCGUUCUCUCUAAUUUAGCAAAAAAGAAUUAAUUGUUCGCGGGUUAAUUAAUAACAUCGAUUGUGUUAAUUAGCUGAAAUCAAAAGGUAUGUUUGCUUAAAGACUUUUUUUAUUUUUUUUAUUUUUUUGCAUCUCUUGAUUUUUAUUUGCUAUUUGUAAUGAUUUUUAUUUCUUUGUUAUUUUAUGUUUUUGAUAUAGGUUAAGAAAAACAAUUUUUAUUUAUAUUGUUAUCUUUGACAAAAUCGAAAGGAUGUAAUGAUGGUAGCUGAUAUUGAUAAAAACAUGGAGUGACAUAUCUUAAAUUUAUUUUUGAUUGCCUAUUUUAAUUUGAGGUCAAUUAUAUUUUGUCUUGUUAAAAAUGCAACUAAACCAAGUGAUUAGAUUAAUUGUAUGAUUAGAUUAAUGUUAUAACAAGUAGAAGGCAAUUUUUAUUAUUAAUUCACAUGUAUGAAAACUACAAAAUUACUAGACAUUAAAUGUGAGCUUCAUUUACACCAUUUUAUAAGGUUUUAACUUGAGUUUUUUUUUUUUUUUAUGUAGAUGGAUUCAAAUUUUCCAAGCUCUUUUACCAAUUUUCUUAUGAGCGAGUCAGAAGAUAUUCUCUCUCAACCAAGUGAUUCUAAUCAAUUAAUUAAUAACUUAACAUACUCGAAUUUAAAUGUCAAUACAAUAAAAAAAUCACAAAGAAGUAAAAACUUCUCACCAGAAGAAGAUUGUUUACUUGUCUCUGCAUGGUUAAAUACAAGCAAGGAUCCAAUUACAGGAGUUGAACAACAAACAAAACAAUUCUGGGCUCGCGUCCAUGCUUACUUUGUAGAGAAUGGAGGAAACUUGUUUAAUCGUUCCCAAAUAAGCAUCUCAAGUAGAUGACAAGAAAUAAAUAGAGAAGUCGGUAAAUUUGUUGGAUUUGUCACUCAAAUUGAAAAUUGUCAGCAAAGUGGAAUGACCGAAGAAUCAAGGGUAAUUUUAAUAUUCAUUUCCAUGUUAAAUUAUUUAACACAUAUUUUAACAUUAUUUAAUUUAUUUAUUUUUUUACCAGAUUAAUGAUGCUCGACAAAUGUAUGCUUCUUGCGUUGGCAAACGAUUUCAACUAGAACAUUGUUGGGUUAUCUUAAGAAAAGAACCCAAAUGGCAAUUUGAGCGUGCAAGUCAAUAUCAAAAGUCAAAUAAGAAACAAAAAGUCAUGUCAAUGCAAGUCCAGCUUCAUCAACUCCAUCUACCCCUAAUUCUGUUAGUUUAGGAGAAGAUAGUGAACCAUUGAUUUAUCAAGACAGACCAAUCGGUCAGAAGGCUGCAAAGGAACGACUUAAACGUAGACAAGGAAAAGAUAAAGUUGGGGAGGUAACUGUAACAAAUCUCUUACAACAAUUCAAGGAUACUCUAGUUGAAAUUGAGGAUCAGAAAAAACGAGACAGGAAAAUUAUGUUAGAGCAACAAGCCAUGGUGAUUCAACAAAGUCAAGAGAAACAAGAAUUGGACAGGAUUGAGAAAGAAGAACAAAUUAUGAAAAUGGAUAUUUCUAAUUUGGAUCCAAUUUCUGCAGCAUAUUUUCAAAAUAGAAAGUUAGAAAUUAUGCAAAAGAGGGGUUUUAAUUUUUAAUUAACUUUGAUUGAUUUAUUGUAAUGUAAUGUAUUUUUAAUUAAAUAUGUAGAAAAUUCUUGGUUAUUUUAAAUAUAUUGUUAUGAAAUUGAUAUCAAUUCAUAAUACUUUUUUGAAGUUCCUCUAACACUUAACAAUAAUAAGUAGGAUUAAUUAACUUAAAAGAUAACAACCAUAAUGAAAAAAAAAACAUAAAAAACUUGAAAAUUAUGAUAACAUAAGAAGUUCAAAUCUAAAGAUUUUACUCGUUGCCAUAUUGUUCCCACAAAUGUUCGAUCAAAUCUUCUUGUAGUUGAGAGCUAGUUGCUCUAUCCCUAAUUCGAUUAUGAGUUUGAAGAAAAUCAUGUAGUUCUGGUAUUUCACCAUGUGACACUGAUAUAAAAGAAUUGACUUCAUGCUCAUGGUCAAAUCCAAGCUUCACUGCUCCUUCAUCCUCAAUAAUCAUAUUAUGCAUUAUUAUGCAAGCUUUCAUAAUAUAUGUCAAGCGUUUCUUCAUCCCAGUAUUGAACAGGUCCACGUACAAUUGCAAAACGAGAUUGGAGCACCCCAAAUGCCCGCUCCACAUCCUUUCUUGCAGACUCUUGCUUGCUUGCAAAAUAUUUUCUCUUUGCUCCUAAUGGUCUUGGGAUUGUCUUAACAAAGGUUGACCAAUUAGGAUAAAUCUUAUCUGCUAAAUAGUAUCCCAUUGUAUAUUCAUGCCCAUUAAUUGUAUAAUUGACAGGAGCAGUAUGACCUUCAGCAAGUGCAGCGAAGAUAGGUGACCGAUCAAGAACAUUAAUAUCAUUUAAUGAUCUAGGCAUUCCAAAAAAGACAUGCCAUAUCCAAAGAUCUUGUGAAGCCACCGCCUCUAGAAUUAUAGUUGGUUCACGACAAUGACCAAUAUACAUCACAUGCCAUGCAAUUGGACAUUUCUCCCAUUUCCAAUGCAUACAGUCAAUGCUCCCUAACAUCCCUGGAAAUCCACGCUGCUCUCCAAUUGAUAAUAAUCGACAAAUAUCGGCCUCGUUUGGUGCCCUUAGAUACCAAUCACCAAAAACUUCUACGAUUGCUUUGACGAAAGCUCUAAGACUUUCUAUCGUAGUGGUUUCUCCAAUUCGAAGAUAUUCAUCAGUAAGAUCUGCAGGAAUACCAUAUGCAAGUAUUUUGUGAGCUGCAGUUACCUUUUGAAGGCAAGAUAAACCAAGAACACCAAGAGCAUCUGUCCUUUGUUUGAAAUAUGGAUUAUAAGCUUCCACUGCAUUUGCGAUCCGAAGAAAAAGACGACGACUCAUCCUAAAUCUUCUUCGAAAUUGACUUUGAGUGAAUUUAGGAUUUUCUGCAAAAUAAUCAUUAUAUAACCUUAACUCACCUUCCUUUCUAUUAUGAUUGACAAUAUUGUGACCAGGAAUAGAGCCACGAUGCCCUGUUCUCCGCCCUUGAUUAUUCGAUUCUUCUUCAGCAACCACAGCAGUAGCAACUUGAAAAGCAAACACAGGAGUGUCAUCAUCAAAAUCAAAAGCAUCAUAAAAAUUAAAAUUAGAAUGAUUCAUGAUGAAUUUUAAUGAAAUAUGUUUUUGAUUGGAGAGAAAAAAAUGGAAUGAUGAGAAAAAAUGUUAAGAUAUAUGAGAAUAUUUAUAAAUGGAUUAUUUUUUCAAAUUUUGAAAUCUUAGAAUGAUGACAGUUAUUUUUUUAAAAUUUAAAAUUUUAAAAUUUAAAAUGUUGGCGGUCAUUUUUUUAAAAUUUAAAAUUUUAAAAUUUAAAAUGUUGACGGUCAUUUUUUCAAAGCAUGAAUUUUUUUUUAAAAAAAUUGAAAAUCAAAAUUUAAAAUAUUGGUGGUUUUUUUCAAAGUUUGAAUUUGAAUUUACUUUUAAAAAAUUAAAAUUUUAACAGUAAUAUAUAAAACUGAAAAUUAAAAAUAUUCAUAUAGAUAAAUUUUAAGUUUAAUUUUAAAUUAUAUCUUUUAACUUUCAUAUUAUUUCAUUAAUUUUAUAUUACUUUUAUAAAUUACUUAUAUUACUUAUAUAAUUAAUAACAUCAUAAUUAUAUUAUAUAUAAAAUAUUUAAAUUAGUUAUAUAAUUAUAUUAAAAUUAAUUUAAUAUGAAAUAUAUUAAAAUAUAAAUGAUUUUUUUAAAUAGCUUUUUACUAUUGAAAUGUAUAUAAUAAAAAAAAUUAUAUUUAUAUUAUUUAAAAAAUUAUUUUAUUAAUUUAGUUUUUGAUUUAGCUUUUUGGGUUGGAGAUGCUGUAAGACCUGUGUUAUUCCUUCUUCCUAAUUUUUCCAUGCAUAUUCUUCGACCACACGAACAAGAUCACCAGCAAGCUCCACCAUGCGUCUACCUCUUUUUUUAACAAGUGUCCAGAUCUAUUUUUAUAUUUUUUACACUCUCCCAGUCUCUCUCUCUCUCUCUCUCUCUCUAUCAGUCCAUUAUUUUCUAGGAUUUUCACAAAAGAAGCGCCAACGAAUUUGGAUCCAAAACUCUACUCUCCAUCUUUAUAAUUAUCACAUCAUCACCAGCACAGAAUAUUAAGAAAAGGGUACAAAUCUACAAUCCUUUCAUUCCAUUUGUUUUAGGUUUCUUUGGUUUUCCAGUUCCAUGAUAAUAAUCACUGCAGUUCUGUAUCAGUGGAAAUCGUCAUUUCCAAAAGCUCUUAUCUUUUCAUUUAUUCGUUUAUGCUGCUUUUAGAUUAUGCAGAUUCUUUUUCUGGGUUCAUUUUAUUUUUUUUAGUGUAUCUUGCUUGGAUUGGUUGCUUAGGUAGUGUGCUGAAGGAAAAAAAUAAAGAGGUGAAGUAACGGAAGAUGGGAUUUUUAUUUUCAGUUUUUUACUGAUGUGGGAUUUUUAUUUGGACAUUGAUUUUAAUUUCUUUCAGUUAUAUUAGGACCUUUGGUAAUGGAAAUGUUUUGAGUUGCCUUUUCUUUUGAUUGAUUAGUAAUUCAUGGUCUCUGAUUUUCUGCUAUUUUGUUCAUUUGAUGAGUGUCUCAUGCUUUUGAAUCCAGUUAAUGGGUUCUCUGGCUUUUCUUUAUUUUAAUUAUUUAGUCUUUUUGGGGGGCUUUACCAGUUCUGUUUACAAUAUCUUCUUCUUCUCUUUAUUUUUUCAUUUAUAAUAUCAUAUAUCCAGUCUAACAUUAAAAUUACAGCUACAAAACAAACUUUACUAAUUGCUUUGUUAGUACCUGUGCAAAUCUUAUGGAUAGGCGAAAUUAUGAAACUUUUCAAUUCUUACAGUACCUUCAAUAUCCAAUAUUAGUGAUUCAUCUUAUAAGUUGAUGACUUCUGCAUAAUUGCCAAAUUAAUUUUUUUUCUUGGAUAUAAUACCCUAGGCUUGAAUUGAUAGUGAAGCAUGUCAUUGAUGCUUGUUUCUCUAGUUAAAUCGAACCUUUUUUGUACAGGGUUAAAGUUUGGGAUAGAAAAGCGAUGGAUAGGCUCAAGGCUCCUGCUCGCCUCAUGAUAGUUUCGGAUCUUGAUCACACAAUGGUUGGUCUCGUAAUUGUUUGGUUUCUGCUUGUUUCAUUGUAUAUUCUUGUGGCUGCUAUAAUUUUAUUAGACAAUAUACUCUUGUUGCAGGUUGAUCAUCAUGAUCCCGAGAACAUGUCUCUUCUUAGGUUCAAUGCCUUAUGGGAGGCCUGUUAUCGUAAUGAUUCUCUGCUAGUUUUCUCCACUGGAAGAUCACCUACGCUUUAUAAGCAGUUGAGAAAAGAGAAACCCAUGUUAACACCUGAUAUAACCAUAAUGUCUGUGGGAACUGAGAUCACGUAUGGCACCUCCAUGGUGCCUGAUGAUGGUUGGGUUGAAGUUUUGAAUCAGAAAUGGGACAGGAACCUAGUCACUGAGGAAACAAGCAAGUUUCCUGAACUUACUCUUCAGGUAUGUUAAACACUUAUGGGAUUUGGUUCUCUGAUUGUGCAUAUUGCUUUGAAAAUGAGCAUAUAGUUUUGUACAUAGAAGAAAACAGUUCGGCAACUUGAAAUCUCUGAAUAAAUGACAUCUAUGGGGUAAUGCAGUCAGAAACAGAGCAACGGCCUCACAAGGUCAGCUUUUAUGUUGAUAAAGCCAAUGCUCAGAAUGUGACGAAGGCGCUAUCAGAGAUAUUUGCAAAACGUGGGGUUAGUUUCUAGUUUUGGGAUCCUUGCCCCCUGAUUUUGUGUUCUUUUUAGUACAAGUCUACAGGUGCUACAGUGUCUAACUUAAUUUUUAAAUCUCUUCUCUUCUUCUUCUCUCUCUCUCUCUCAUCUUUCUUUUCUUCUUCUUCUUCUUCUUUUUCGUUUUUGUUUCUAGUUGGAUGUCAAGAUAAUUUAUAGUGGUGGAAUGGACCUGGAUAUACUACCCCAAGGUGCUGGCAAAGGACAAGCUCUUGCGUAUUUACAUAAGAAGUUUAAGACUGAAGGAAAACUACCUGCCAAUACUCUUGUUUGUGGUGAUUCUGGAAAUGAUGCCGAGCUGUUCAGCAUUCCAGAUGUACAUGGAGUGAUGGUGGGUAUUUAUGUUCUGCCAUAUCACUUCAUUGGGAAAUUGAGGUUGCUCACAUAGGUCAUUUUUUUCUGUUAACUAUUCAUUCAUUGAUUUAUCUGUCUAGGUUAGUAAUGCACAAGAAGAGUUGUUGCAGUGGCAUGCUGAAAAUGCUAAAGGCAAUGCUAAAAUAAUUCAUGCAACCGAGCGGUGUGCAGCUGGGAUCAUACAAGCUAUUGGUCAUUUUAAACUUGGUCCCAAUACUUCUCCAAGAGAUACAACCAACCUUUCAUACUUUGAGUCGGAAAACAUCAGUGCCAGUAGUGAAAUAGUGAGAUUUUUCAUGUUCUAUGAAAGAUGGAGGCGUGCAGAGGUUGAAAACUCGGAGCUAUAUUUGGCAAGCAUGAAAGCUGAUUGUGUAUGUUUCUAUCCUCUUUUCUUUUGACUCUAUGUGUUGCUCUAGAAAAGUUUGUGGACUUUUAUGUCUUUCCUUUUCUUUGUGAUGCAUUUUAACCUUUAAGGAUUAGGUUUAUACUAACUACUAUGCAAGAAAUAAACAUGGCUUGUGUCUGCUUUUCUUUCAUGGUAUAAACAAUACACUAGAUUCAUCUGGAUUUCAUAUUCUUUUGAGGCUCAUAAUAUUCCAGCUAAGCAUUAAAUUAUCCAGUCAUGGUUGUUUGGUUCAGUUCUUUUGCUUUUCUUUCAGGAGGAUAAAUAUAUUGCUAAUACCGUUAAACUGUUAUAAAUGAAAGUCUGACCUGUUGUGCUUAACCAUGUAAGCUUUUGAUACUUGUUCUCCAUAUGAAUAGCCUUGUGGCUGAUGAACAGAAAAGCAAGCUUGAGACUGUUCAGUUUUUUAUCCUUUCUGCCAUAAAAUCUGAAGGGUUGAAUUUGUCUGUUUUGUUUUAAGAAUGAAUUUAUUCAAAGAACUGGACAAGGUUCACCUGGACAAUACUAACCCACCCACUUGCCUCUGCAGUCAAGGUCUGGGGGCGGAUUUAUUUUAAAAUACAUAGAGCAAGCAUUAUCAAGCAUACUUAGAUAAAUUAAUAUCCACCAUCAUCUUAUUUGCUGGUGUCCAUGAAUGCACUCUUAUAUACAUAUGUUUUGCUUUUCCAGAUUCCCUUUCUUCAGUUAGCCUGAUAUAAUUUUUUCCUUUUUUUGACAGGAUUCAUCUGGUAUUCUUAUCCACCCAUCUGGUGCUGAGCUUUCUCUUUGUGAUGCUUUAAAUGAAAUGAGGAGCUACUAUGGUGACAAACAGGGCCAAAAAUUUCGAGUUUGGGUGGAUCGGGUACUAUCCAUACAGACUGGUUUGGACACGUGGCUAGUAAAGUUCAAUAAGUGGGAAUUAUCAGGUAAGACCUCCGAAUGAUAAUGAUUGCAUUAUCAAUAAUGCUGAUGAUAAAAUGUCCCUGCUCUCCCAUGCAUUUUAUGAUAUAUUUCUGCACCAGUUUAGACUACUGGACGCUGGUACACUUUCCUCUUUUCUUUAAUGCCAUCCAUGUAAUUUCUUCUGAUUUGUCAAUGCAAGGUUUUUAAGUUUUUAACAUAUACUUCUUCAGCUGUAGUUGGUUUGCAGGAUGUUCUUCAACUAAUCAGGGAUCUCUUUUCUACUGGAUUCUGGUUUUUCUUCGGAGUCAUACAAAUGCCUUUGCAUGGGUAGCUGUAAACAGGGUGGAAGAGCCUUUAGAACUUGACCUGCUUAGGAGAGGGACAAACAGAUCUACAACUACUGAUAUUCUCUUUCUUACUUGGGGGUUAGAAUCCUAUAGGUGCUUUAUUUGGCAAAAGCCAUGGUCAGAGUGAGCAUACCAUCUGCUAGAAAAGAAACCGUCCAUAGAACAAUUAAUCAUAUCUUCUAUGGACAAUAAUAAAACUGUUUUACUCUCUCCUCUCUAUGAUUAAUGGUUCUACGGUUUCCUUAUUUGUCUGAGUUUCUAUGAGAGCUGUCACCCAGAUUUUUCAACUUUUCCUUGAAAUAGCCUGUUCGUCACCUGGACAGGAUAAAGGGUGGUUGCUAGACACCCCAUAGUAAUGGAAAAUCGCUAAAACAUGGACUAGCUCAACCUUUGAAAUAUACCUGUAGAAUCCUUAGUAACUUCUUGGUAUAGUAUCUGUUGCAAUGCCUUCAAUGCACUUGACUGGGUUUUUGGAGUUGGUGUUGGAAAAUUUGCACUGGCAAUCGGGUUUGCGGACAAUUAAUUUCUUGUAGCUAUGCUUUUAUUUGUAGAAUUUUUGUAAUUCUUUAGUGGCGUAGAUUACCUGCAUGCCCAUUUUAAUUUAUUCCAUGCUAAGUAAAAUCUUUGAUAACAGGGAUCUCUUAAUCAAUUAAUGGAGCUGUAUGUGCCAUUUUUUCAUUUCUCCUAAAUUAUUCGUCAAUUCUUGCAGGGGAUGAGCAGCAAGGUUGUGUGAUCACUUGUAUAAUAAAUAUAAAGGUAAACCUUGAGAUCAAUCAAUGAGUUUCUGCUAAAACAAGAAUUCUGCCCUCACAUGAUUUGCUUCCUCUUUGUGUUUUAGAAGGAUGGUGUUUCUGGGGCAACUUACAUGCAUGUGCAUGAAACUUGGCUGGAAGGAUCAGGAGCUAAAGAUCAAUCAACCUGGCUGUUCUAGAUUGUGUUUACAGCUCAAAGCUCAGAUGCAGACAGCUCAUAACCGUCUUCGAAGUUCGAACACAAUAAAAUUAAUCAAAUGAUGAUUUUCAGCUUUGUAAUUUGAUCAUUGUUGUAUGAACAUCAACUUCAUGGUGAUCGGCUAUUACAUAAUAAAUGAAUAUGAUUAAUAUCCUGAGUGUUUUUCUUCCAUCAAACUUUUUAUUCCUCGUAGUAUUAAUCUAGGUGGGUAUGUUGGAGAUCAAUAACAUGUAUGAUCCUGCUGCCCCCCGAAGGACCCCUCAGUUGCCCUACCAUGCUUCGAUGAUCAUGCGCACACAAAAUUCCUGUGCUGCAAUGGCUGCUGCCACCAGUCACCAUGACCACUGUGCAUCACCUAGAAAAGUACGAAAGAAAUUGCCUCGCGAACGACAUGUCAUUGUUAGGGGUACUUGGGCCCAGUUUGUAUGGACCCAAUCUGAAAGACCAGCCCAUCGUGCAAUCAAAGCAAUUCCAAAGAAUGAAUUAAGAAAAAACUAAACAACAAAAAAGGGCCCAACCGGGUUCGAACCGGUGACCUCUUGAUCUGCAGUCAAAUGCUCUACCACUGAGCUAUGGACCCCUGAUGCUUUGAAACUCAUAAAUACCAAAUAAUAUUGAUUAAACAAAGAGGCAAACCCCACACUAAACAAUAUAGUAUGAAAAUUGAAAAGAUUCGUCUUCAUAAAGUUUUGUUUCGUUUUGUUUUGCAGCCAAUCUUUAUCAAAAUUAAGGUUAUCUCGGGGUUUUUGUCUUAAAAAUCUAAAAGAAAGAACGCUGUGGCCGUGAUACAAGCAUGAGGGCAUAUUUAAUAGGUGAGCUAAAAGAAGAGUCAAGGAAAAAAAAAACUAUUCUUUUUUUAUCCUUUUCUUCUUUAAUUUUACAGCUUCAAAGUGAUAGUAAAUAAAAUGAAAAGUUAAAAUGAUUUUUUAAAAUGAAAAUCCAUUUCUAUAUAUCGAUAAAAAAAAGCUGAAAAUAUUAAAAUAGAUUAUUUAAAAAAAUUUCUUUCAUCCCUACAACUUUUCUCAAUGUCUUUUUCUAAAACAAAUCAAAAAUUAUUAAUAUUAUAUAUAUUGAAAUACAAAUAGGUUAAAAUAAUUUUUUUUUAAUUGGAGUGCAUAUAAAAAAAAUAGUCAUAUUUAUAUUAUUUAAAAAGCUAUAUCAACACUUUGGCUUUUUUAAAUAGCUUUUGUUAUCGCUUUGACUUUUACAAAGUGAAAAGGCUAUUGCAAGUCUAUGUUAUAUAUUGUAUAUACCAAUUUGAUAUGGUAACAUUUGUUUAUUGUCUUAGUAUAGAAACAAUAAAGACAAUAAAAAUAGAAAUAUGUUUGAUUAAAGACACAAAAAUAUAAAAUACAUUUGUUUUUAAAAUAGUUUUAGAGUGAGAUUUUUUACUUUUAAAAUAAAAAAUACAUGAAAAACAUGUCUUUUAUAUUUUCAUUAUCUUCGUCUCUUUUAUUUCGAGACAAUAACCAAACACUACCAAAGAAACUUUCUAGUUUCAGUUAUGACUACUUUAUUAUUAAGGAUAAUAAUGAAGUACCUUGAAGGAAAAGAUGCAUUCUCUAAUUUUAUAUUUGUGAAAGUCUUUUAAUCUAUAUUAUCUAUUUUAUUUCUAUUAAUAGUUUAAAAUUAAACAUCUUAACUGGAAGUGCAUCUUGAUGAAGGUCCAUAUAAUUUUUUUUUUAUGAUUAAUUUUCAUUCAAUAAAUUAAAAAAUAAAAUAUUUUACACAUUAAUAAAGUUACUAUUGAAAAAAAACAUGUAACACCCUCAAAUUAUAAUAUCAUGAAAUCUCCCAACAUUUCUUUACCAAUGUCAAGUAUUGGGUAAUAUGUCUAAAAUUAUGGGUUUUUUUUUUUGAAAAUUUCGGCAGAGUUUCCUCUAUUUUUGUUGGUACCAAGUUAUCGACAACACUUCUAUUAUAUGUCAUUACGACUUCCAUCUUGAUCCAAUCAUCCUGGAUCACAUUCCAUUCAUCAAACAAUAACUCAAUAUUUAUACUUAUCAAUAUAUGCAAGUCUCAUAAUAUCAAUUAGUAAAUCAACAUAAAUGUACUACCAAAACAACUUAAAAGAUAAACAAAUUCAUCAUUAAACGUAAUAAAUGCUAACUAACUACAUAGAAGCCUUUAAACUAUAUAAAUACAACAUUAAGAUUAAGAGUCAUAUUAUAUUUAUAAUAAAUCUUAUCUUAUCAUUUUGAAAAUGAGUUGGUCAUACUAACAACUAUACAUAUAUAUAUAAUACAUCCACUACAUAUUACACCUUCUACUUAAUUUUUACAACACAAAAGGAUUUACAUUCAAAGUAAAGACAUGAAUAUCACAUUCCAAAAUACUAAUUCGUAAACAGGAGUAUUCCUACAUCUAACGAUCUGCAUCACCUCGCGGUGUAUCUGUUUCAACAAUAACAAUAUUAAGUAACUUACUCACUAUAUUAUUCUAAUAUUAAUUAAUUACUCUUAACCUUUGAAAUUUAAUACUUCUACUUCAAUCUAACUUAAUCCCUUAAUUUACAUAAUUUUUUCAAAAUUUACAAAUCCAGCUAACUCAUCUUAAUUACCAAAUAAAUCUAACACUUCCAAAUCCUCCUUCCUUCACUUGCUUUAGUGUUUUAUAGGUUGAACUUGCAAGCUUAUAAAGAUAUUUUCUCAAUUUCCUUAUUGUUUUUCCUUACUUUUCUCUCUUUCUCUCACGUUAUGCUCUGUUUUUCUUUUCACCUUUUUGUUUCUGCCCAUUCGGCAGUUAAUAGAAGAGAAGGAGAGCUUAUAUGUUUUGUUUUCAAUGGAAAAUUACUAUUAUACCCUUAAUGAAUAUUUUUUCCUCUUUGACGGUCUUUAUUUUUUUUGCUAGCACUACCGAGCUCCAUUCAUCUUAAAAUUUUAACCAAAUUUUAUUCAAUAUAUUUUAAGAUUCCUCAUAAAAUUUCAGCUCAAUCCGAUGAUCGGAUUGAAAAUUACAUCCAAUAACGUAAAACUAGUCGAAUUGUGAUUUUUCGUUAAAUUUUUGAAUUUCUCUAAAAAUUCUGAAAUUUUAACCCAAGUUAAGGUAUCAUAUUAGAAGGCUCCACGCAAAAUUUCAGAAUUUUUAGAUAACCCAAUCAAGAGUUACGAAUUUUUUUAUUUUACAUAAAACUAGUCAAUUUAUGAUUUUUCGCCCGGAGGUUUUACAAAACUACACAUGUUAUUUUAAAUGUAUAUUAAGAAAAUAAUAAAAAAAAUGUUAAUAUUAAAUUAUAAUUGUUUAGUUCAAUUUAGUGUGUGUUACAUGCAAGUUUAGUUCAAUUUAAAGUAUUUGAAUUAUAUAUCAUGCAAAUUAACAACCUACCAACAAUUUUAAGACUAAAAAUUACCUUGUAUCUUAUUUAUUAAUUGCUUAGUUUAAUUUUUGCAAUUCCAUAUUUUAUAAUUUUUAUAUAAUAAAUUUGUUUUUUGUUAUUUUAUUUGAAUGUUGUAAGUCAUAUUUAUAUAUAGAUUAUAUUAUUAUGUCUUCUACUUAGGAGAUGGUUAAUACAACUAAUAUUUCAGCAAUGAUUCCACCAUCACUUUUUGUGGUACAUGGUGAGAAACCUAAAAAUUCUAAUGGUUUGAACUUUGAGAGGUGGCAAUAAAAGGUAUUUUAUCUAACCACCUUGAACUUGGUAAAAUUCUUGUCUAAUAUUAUUGUUGUGGUAGUUACGAAUGCAUGGAUGCACAAAUAUUUCAUGUGCAAUAACUACAUCUUAAAUGGUUUGGACAACAUGCCAUAUGAUUUGUAUAGUUCAAUUAAAAGUGCAAAGACACUAUAGGAAGCCAUCAUGUAUUGAAAGUAUAAGGUUAAAGAUGUUGACAUGAAAAAGUUCAUAGUCAUCAAACUUCUUGACUUCAAGAUGAUUGAUUCAAGGACUAUGAUAAGCAAAUUUCAAGAGUUUUAACUCAUCUUACACAACAUUCAUGUUGAAGGGAUGAUUUUAAGUGAAUCUUUUCAAAUGAUUGCUAUUAUUGAGAAAUUAUCAUCAUCUUUGAAAGAUUUCAAGAAAUACCUUAAAGGCAUAAGUGAAAGGAGAUUAGAGUUGAAAACAUCAUUCUAAGAUUGAUAAUAAUAAUAAUAAUAAUAAAUAAUAAGUUGUUUGAAAGGAGAGCUAACUCUUUCAUAAUAGCUUCUAAAACAAACAUUAUUGAACAAGUAAAGAAGACCAAUAAUAAAAACCAAAAUAAAAAGCUUAAUGUGAAGGGAAAAGAUAUUGUCAUGAAAUUCAAUAGCAAGUGGUUUAUUUAUAAUAAGACUGGAUAUCAAGUCAAUAAUUACAAAAAUAAAGCUCAAGAAAGGAACUUUAAGAAAAAAAAAAAAGAUUGCUUAAGACAAUGUCACCAGGAUUAAUAACCUAGUAAAUAAAGUAUUGAGUAUGAAACUAUAUUUCAUUAAACCUAUAAAUCUUGUGAACAAUAUUGAAUAUUGGAGGAUUAACACUAGUUCUAUAAGACAUAAUUGUGCUAAAAGAAUGAUGUUCUCUACUUACUAAGAAGUAGGUGUUAAACAACUUGUCAUAAUCCAAUUUUGAAUCCCCCAAAACUUUUUCAUAUUUUGCUUAAAAAUAAAAAAAAUCAUAAAUUCAAAAUUUAAAAAUAUUUUUGGGACAUAAAUAGAGGAGCUUUUGAGUUGCAACAAGUCAAAUUCCAGGAGUAUAGUCAGAUUUUAAUAUUGUUGCCAAGAUAGGUUGAAGAACAAUUUAAUUUAAGCACAAUUUGAAAGUUAAUUUAAUUGAAAUUGAAAGAAUUAAUUAAGUUCAAGAACUUAAUUAAACUUCUAAUGAGUUUAUCUAACUUAUUUAAGGAUUUAAUUGAAAGAAAAUUAUGUUUGAAAAAUAAUUUGAUCAAAAUUAGAAGAAUUUAUUAAACUUAAGUGCUUAAUUAAACUUCUAAUGAGUUUAAUUGAUUUAAUUAAAGUAAAAUUAAGUUUAAAAGUUAAUUUUUGUAAGCAAGAAGUAUUUGUGUGAUGUUUUUUUUAAGAUAAUCGCCUGAUAUUCAUAGUCAAUUUGAUUAUUGUAAUAAGGGAUGUAAAUUAUAAUAUAAUUCUCUCUUCUUUUAUUUACUUUACUUUAUCGCAUGUUAAUUAUAAUUUUAUAAAAAAAUUUAAAUUUUAACCAACCUCUUUUUUGGGCACAAUCCCAAACAGGGGCUUAAAUGUCCGAAACACCAGCUAGCUCAUUGUGACACUCUAAUGCACUUCCACAUCAUUCGUGGAUUGACAAAUGUAAGGGUAAUCAGUUUUCGGAAGUUGCUUUUGAGUUCUAACAUUCACAACCACCAGUCUCAUGGCAACGCCAUUCAAGAUCCCUUUCUCUGUUCAUACGUUUCAGCCUGAGGAAAGCACAGGCAAGUACCACAAGAAAUUAAUAAUAAAAAUAAAAAUAAAAAAUGAUCAAACAAGACAGGUGCUUCAAAAUAAACAUUCCCACGUAACAUUUCUAUCUCUAUUCCCUACGCGUGGGAAAACCCAUCUCUCUUUUAAUUUCACUUUAAAGGAAUAAGAAUCGAAUUCCAGAUACAGAUCCAGAACGGCAAAGCCCACCUCUUCCUCUCCCUGUGGAUUUUCGAGAUCUUUGGUGAUAAUGGGUUUGAGGAUUGUGUACGGGGUGGUGUUCCUUUCUUUCUCAUGUGCCUGCUUCAUGCUUCUCCAUCUCUUUCUACACCCUGUAUUCUACUUCACUACCUGAUGGGUUCUUGGGAUUUUUGAGAAAGAAGCUCAAAUGGGUUAGCCAGAUUUUACACUUUUUCUUCUUUUCGUUUGCUUAAUUUGUAUACUUUUCUUCAUAUAAUGACAUAAGGGGUUGAAUUUCUCAAGUACUACUGUGUACUUCUAUUACUACUGUGAUGCAAGUUGAACUAGCUAUAGGUCUGGUAGUCUUCCUAGUCCUUUCGCAUCUCAGAGUUUGAGUGCUUGCGUCUUGUGUUACUUGUCAUGACAUUUCAAGCACAUCUACAUGUCUUUUGUUUGUUUGGUUUUGCUAUGAUGUUGUUGAUAUAAUACCAGUUUAAUGAGAAUUUGCUGAUAUGUUUAUUUAUUCAGUUUAUUUUUAUUUUUUUGAUAAUAAGUACUACUUAUGAUCUUAUGCUCAGUGUUCUGUUGCUAAGUGCAUCUGAAACUUUCAAUUUCAGUCCAGUAAAGGAUGUUUCUGCAAAAUUAGCGUUCUGGAUUAAUUAUAUUGCAAUUGUCAGUAGCAGUUUUGCAUUCUAAACCC
RNAcentral lists this long non-coding RNA (59428 nucleotides) under Populus trichocarpa (black cottonwood). RNAcentral's name for it is "long non-coding RNA (PTRI_LNC001847)". Lineage: Eukaryota; Viridiplantae; Streptophyta; Magnoliopsida; Malpighiales; Salicaceae. The record is from RNAcentral.